This 70327-nucleotide long non-coding RNA is filed under the name Glycine max (soybean). RNAcentral's name for it is "long non-coding RNA (GMAX_LNC002890)". The record is from RNAcentral. Lineage: Eukaryota; Viridiplantae; Streptophyta; Magnoliopsida; Fabales; Fabaceae.
UGAAUUAUGAUUUUCCCCCUCUUUUAGUGCUUUCUUUUAUUUCUUUCUCUGAAGAUACACUAAUUAACACUGAAAAUCCACAAAAACACUACUAUGGUAGAUGUGCAAGUAUGCACGUAUAUUAGUUUCAUGUUGAUUACUUGUAAUAUGAAUGAAGUGAAUUACAUACCCUGUAGAGGACAACAUAUUGGGCACUGAGUCCGAAUUGGCGGAGGGCUGGGAGGGUGAGACUGUUGAGGGUGCUAAUGCGACCAGCUUUUGGGUUGUAGAAGUCAGCACGUGAAGGGCGAGCAAUGUUCUCGUGAAGCUUCAUGGUGCAAAUAUUUUCCUCAACCCCAUUUCUAGUCUGACAUCCUCUUCCACGUGGUUCUUGUUGUUCGGGCCUGCUUGGUCGCUGUGGAGGGUGAUCAGGACGAGGUUGAUCUUCUUCUUCGUCCUCGUCCUCGUCAUCUUCAUGCUUUCCAUGGCUUGGUCGUCGUGGAGGAUAAGAGGGAGUUUGUUCAUAUUCUUCGUCUUCAUCUUCGUCUUCGUCUUCUUGUUCUUGCCACUUGGGGCUGAUAACGCUGAGGCCUCCCUCCACUGUCACGAUCUGCUUCCUUUCGUCAUCUGGAGACCGAAGUUUCUCAGCUGUGUCCUCGUUGGUGUUGAAGGAUUGUGCUAAGAAAUGUUUGCUGAAGCCACUGAGCACACUGCCACCUUCUUCCUCCUGCUGCUGGUGUUGCCCCUGCUUGCGUCCACCAUGACUCUUCUGCUGCUGCUGUUGUUGCAUGGUCUCUGGGUGCUCUAUAUCUGGGUUCCCAGCAAGGUAAAAUACCUUGAAAGUAAUUAAAAAAAUUAACAUGUGAGGAGAACAUGUUUUUUUUAAUAAUAAAAUAAUAGUUAAUAGUAAAUGAAGUUCAAUUGAUAUCCAAUCAUGAUACAAGUAUAUAUCCAACUAUUUUAAACACUCCAUUAAUAUAACUUAUUUCUCUUUUCUUAUCACAUUAUAAAUUCUAUCCUAUUUAUAUGUAUUUUUUUCUUUUUCAUUUCUCCCUCUAGAUAUAAGAUAGUGUUCUUCAAACAUUUUUCAUAAAUAAUAAAACAUAACAUCCAAAUGAUGUGAUAUAAAGUAUAUUAAUUAUUUUAUUACUUAGUAUAUUUAAUAAAAGAAAAUAAUAAUAAAAAAUAUUUUGUUAGGUGUCUUUUUAAGUGUGUAUGAUACUAUGCAGUGACAUGUGUAUCACUGCUCAUUAUAAUUACGUACUCUGGGGUUUUGAUCAAGCUGAUUGUUGAAGUUGGAGGUGUCAAGAAGACUGAUGGCAACAACUGGUUCAUCGCCAGUGUUAUAGGUCCAGUAAGGAACACCAGGAGGAAUCACUAGUACGUCUCCUUCAUUGAAGUGACGAAUCUUCUGGUGACUGUCUUGUAGUUGCUGCUGCGACCUUGAGCCUCUUCUGCUUGAUUGCUGUUGUGGCUUCUCAAACGUCUCAGGACAUCCCGGAAAUGCAAAUCCAAUUGCUCCCUUCCCUGUGCAUCAAUCAUCAUCAAGCAAAACAAUCACAUUAAUUAUCAACUAAUUAACACUCUUUAGUCAUCAUAAUUGUUAAGAGUUCAUUCAUAUAACUUGUAAGAUAGUUAGUCAUCAAAUUGUGAUUAGACAUAUAGAUAUAUAGUAUUAUUAUUAUUAUUAUUAUUAUUAGUUUUAUUAGAUGAUACUAUGCCAUAAUGUGGUGUUUAAAACCUAGUUGAGAAAAACAAAUUCUACUAAAAAUGAUUAAUCAAAUUUUCUAGCAGAGAUUAAUUAUAAAAAAUUUAAUAAAUAUUUCAUAUUACUAUUAUUGUUAUCACGUUAAGCUGAUAAAUACUUCUUACUAAUAUUACGCACCUUGAACGACAAUGAUCAUUUGGGGAUAAGGUGAGUAAGAUGGCAAGUGGAGGCCGUUGCGGUUGAGGGUGCGUUUGGAAACAGUGACACCGGCGCAUUGCAGCUCAGGGUGUUGAGAGUUCCAUGUUUCAAUAAGACCACCUUCGGACUCAACGCGGUGGUCGGGUUCCAACGCGUUGAGGUUGUUGAGUUGGCACUCGUUGAACUUGCUGGAGGUAAUAGCAAAGCAUGCACUCGACAAGAGUAGCAAGCAAAGGGAAGAAAGAGAGAGAGUGAAGAAGGGCUUCCCCAUAUUGAACUAAGGAAAGUGUUAAUAAGUUUGAAGGAGUUGGUGAAGUGGAGAACACGAAGAGUGGCGAUUUAUAGUGAAGAGAGGAGAGUGAGUGAGGGACACGUCAAUGAAGAAGGGUUUCUGAGUUGGUGACAUUCUUCACCUUGCAUGGCUAUUGUUUCCAAUUUUGUUACACCUCAUACAUAAGCUAUGCUUCGUUUAUAUCUGCAACCGUACAUGAACAACACCAAAAUUGCAGGCACCCUGAAUGGUCCCCCUCUACAGAUUCUCCGCGUCUCAAAUUCUAUCCUCCUUAUACAAUAAGAUCAGCAUUCUAUUCAGUGCAUCAUAUUUUUUUUAUACAAUUAAUUUCCUUUAUAAAUGAGAUAAGGAUAUGAAAAAAAUGUGAAAUAAAAUAAAUAAUAUUACUGUAAAAGAUAAAAAAAAAGGUUUUAUAAACUGUUAAAUAAUUUUUUUAUAACCAUACUAUAUCAUCUUUUAUAUAAUGCGUUAAAUAUUAAAAAAGAAAAUGACAUCCACAAUAAUCUUAUCUAACUCCUGCAGCAUAAUUGUCUCUGUAAAAGAUAUAUAUCAAAUACUAUGAUGUUUAAAAUCUUUCUCAAUUUGAACUGUUUUACUGUAUAUGCAGUUCGUCACCAUAUAUAAGGUUGGCAUGGAAAAGGAGAAAGAGAGAAAUUGCUGCUUCGAAUCCAUUCUAUUCACAUUUAUAAUAAAAACUAAUAAAUUAACAUUUAUUUAUAAAAAAAAAUUAAUGAUAAAUUUUUCAAAAUUAUAUAUAAAUUAUUUUCACACUAAUUUUUUUUAAAUGUCACUUAGAUUUAAUCAUAAAUCGAAUUUUGAGUAUAUAAUUAUAUUAAACACUUUAAAAAAAAAGGUUUUAUUUCCCAUAAUAAUUCUCCUUGACUUAAAUAAGAUUACCUCCUUUUAUGAAAGGAUACCAAUGCUUUUAAACUUAAAAAUAAAACACUUAAUAAUGUGUCAAAAAAUCAAACACUAUUUUUAUGCCUAAUUGAUUACAUGACGAGCGUGCAUGUUAUAUUAGAUAGACACGCGUUUUACUAGAUUAAAUAUUUUUUAGUUCUUCAAAAUUUAGUAAAAUUCGUUUUUGGAUCCUCAGGUUUAAAGUUAAACGUUUUCAUUUAUAAUUUGAGAAAUAGACUUGUUUUCAUCCUUCAUACUAGUGACCAUAGGUGAAAUGCUAAUGUGGUCAAUGGAUUCAAGUCAUAAUUCGAUCACCACGUCAUUUCCGGUUCAUGUGACCUAAUGGUGUCACAUUAAAGGAACGAAAACUGAAUUUUGCAUUUAAGAGGGAAUUAAACAUUUAGAUUGAAUUAUUAAAAAGAUUAAAAUCGAACUUUAUACGAGAGUCCAAAAGUAUUUUAUUAUGCUUAUAUGUUAAAAUUCAAUAGAAUAAAUAAGUACUCUCCUAUAUGAAGAACCAUAUACUAAUUCCGUUGAUUGAGUAUUAGCUAUGUACUAACAGAAAUAAUUUCCGUUUUUCCCCUUUCUCUUUCUCGUUCUUGGAAAAGUGUGUGCAUGAUUUUUUUUUUAUGAAUUCAUACUCCAACAAAUGGUAUCCAGAGCAGGUUGUUGAAGGGUGGUCAUCGAUCGAAAGUGAGGUGAGUGAAACCUAAACACGAGAGACGGUAAGCGAGUGAAAACACGAGAGACGGUGAGGAACCUUAUCAAUGGCAACAACGAACGAAAACUUUCCGGCGAACUUUCCGGUUCUUGAUGGGAGAAAUUACGAUCAGUGGAGUAUGAAGAUGAAGGCGAUCCUCGAUUAUCAAGAUGUGUGGGAUCUGGUGGUGAACGGACUUGAUCCGCUGCCGGUGAAUCCAACCACUGCGUAACAAGCGAUAUAUAGAGAUGCGAAGAAGAAGGAUUGCAAAGGUUUGUGCAUUCUGCAUCAGUGUGUGAAUCAAGCAAUUUUUGAGAAAUUUGCGAGAUCGGAGACGAGCAAAGCGGCGUGGGAUGUUCUCGCGAGCUCCUACGCCGGUGAUCAGAAAUUGAAGAAAGUACGACUUCAAACUCUAAGGUGACAGUAUGAAUUGCUAGGCAUGGAAGAGAGUGAGACAAUUGCUACCUAUUUCACUCGUGUUCAAACCAUGACAAAUCAAACGCCGGUGAUCGGUGCAUUCGCGAUUUGAUCAUGUCACGGUAGCGAUUGAAGAAUCGAAGGAUCUAUCAACGCUAAAAUGGAGGAGCUCAAGNNNNNNNNNNNNNNNNNNNNNNNNNNNNNNNNNNNNNNNNNNNNNNNNNNNNNNNNNNNNNNNNNNNNNNNNNNNNNNNNNNNNNNNNNNNNNNNNNNNNAACUCUGGUAGAGGAAACUCUAGUAAUAAUUACAAUAGUGAACAAAAGAACAAUAGCAGUGAAAAUUAUAGAAGAAGAGGUGGAAGAGGUGGUAGAGGAAGAGGUGGAAGAGGAGGAAGAAAAAUUGAUAAGAGUCACAUUCAAUGUUAUAAUUGUGAGAAAUACGGUCAUUUUGCCGAUGAAUGCUAUAGUAAUCCAAGCCACCCUGAGGCAAGAUUGGCUUAAGAAGAAGAUGAGAAGGAGGAAAUUCUGUUAAUGGCAGUAGAGGAGGAAAUUGGUGAUGAUGGAGUGGAAGAAGUGAGAAAGGAGAAAGUAGAUAUAGAAGAAGUGUUAUAUAUGGUGACUGUGAAGGAUGAGAGUGAUCAUGGUGAUAACUGGUUCCUUGACACUGGGUGUUCAACACACAUGUCAUGAAAGAAGGAAUGGUUUGUUGAGAUAGAUUUCACUGUCAAAAGCAGGGUGAGGUUUGCUGAUGACAGGACUAUGAAGGUUGAAGGUGUAGGAAAGGUGAUGAUCAGGAAGAGAGAUGGAUCUAAAUGCUUUAUUUCUGGAGUGUUGUAUGUUCCAGGAAUGAAGAGCAAUCUUCUGAGCAUUGGACAGCUACUGGAGAAAGGGUACAAGAUGGUGUUGGAGGAUUGUGCCAUGAAGGUGUAUGACAAUGAGAGGAGAUUGUUGAUUAAAGCAAAUUUGUCAAAGAAUAGAACAUUUAAAGCUGAGCUAGAUGUUCUAGUGCAACAAUGUUUAGCAUCAACAAUUGACAAGGAAGAAUGGCUAUGGCAUUUUCGUUAUGGUCACUUAAACUUCAUUGAUCUGAAUAGGUUACAGAGUAAGGGAAUAGUGAAAGGAAUUUCUCAUAUCAAGGUGCCAAAUGAUGUAUGUGGAGAAUGUAUAAAAAGCAAGAUGUCCAGAAACUCAUUCAAUCAAAAUGUAUCCACAAGAUCCAAGAGGAAGUUGCAAGUUGUUUUUUCUGAUGUAUGUGGACCAAUUCAACAUAUGACUCCUGGAGGUAACAAAUAAUUUGUUACAUUUAUAGAUGAGUUUAGUAGAAAACUUUGGAUUUACUUGAUUAAGAGGAAGAGUGAUGUGAUUGAAGUAUUCAAGAAAUUCAAAGUUUCAGUGGAGAAACAGUGUGGAAAGAAUUUAGAGAUAUUAAGAACGGAUGGUGGGGGUGAAUAUGUAUAUGCUGAGUUUGCUGAAUUUUGUGAGAAAGAAGGCAUCACACAUGAAGUAACACCUCCAUACACUCCUCAACAUAAUGGAGUAGCUGAAAGGAAGAAUAGAACUUUGUUGAACAUGGUGAGGAGCAUGUUAAAGAGCAAGAAACUACCAAAAUAUUUGUGGGGAGAAGCUGUGAACACUGCUGCAUACAUCUUGAACAGAAGCCCAACUAGGAAAUUGGAAAAUAUAACACCUGAGGAAGCUUGGACAGGAGUGAAACCAAGUGUGUCUCACCUCAGUGUUUGGAUUUAUUUGUUAUAGACAUAUACCUGACCAACUGAGAACUAAACUUGAUGAUAAAGGAGAAAUGAUGAUAUUGAUUGGAUAUCACUCAACUGGAGGUUAUAAAUUGUUGAAUCCAGUAAACAACAAGAUAGUGAUAAGCAGGGAUGUAGUAGUGGAUGAAAGCAAGGAUUGGGAGUGGAAUGUCACACCAGAGAUAGAAAAAUAGAAUCAAGUUGAAUUGCAACUUGAAGACAGUGACACUGUGACUGUGCAAGAAAAUGAAACUGGAGAAGGCAGUGCUGAGGGGCCAAGAAGAUCUUUGAGACAGAGACAAGUCCCUCAAAGAUUAAAUGAUUUUGAAUUGUUGAAUGAUGGUGCAAUUAAUGAUGAAGGUGAGCCACUCACAGUGGAAAAGAAGCAGUGCAGAAUAAGAAAUGGAUUAAAGCUAUGAAUGAAGAGCUUAAUUCCAUAGAAAAGAAUAAUACUUGGGAGUUAGUGGAACUACCAAAGAAUAAGAAAGCCAUUGGAGUGAAGUGGGUGUAUAAGGUGAAAGUAAAUCCCAAAGGAGAAGUGGUGAGGUAUAAGGCUAGAUUAGUAGCAAGGGGAUUUCUCCAAAGGCAAGGCAUUGACUAUGAAGAAGUAUUUGCACCUGUGGCUAGAUUAGAGACAGUGAGAGUGGUGGUGGCACAUGCAAGUUUGAGAGGGUGGAAACUACAUCAACUUGAUGUAAAAUCAGCAUUUUUGAAUGGUGAUUUACAAGAGGAAGUGUACAUUGAUCAACCACCUGGGUUUGUAGUGAAAGGCAGUGAGAGAAAGGUGUUCAAAUUGAGGAAGGCUCUAUAUGGGUUGAAACAGGCACCAUGUGCUUGGAACAUGAAAAUAGAUAAGAGCUUGACCAAUUUGGGUUUUGUGAAAUGUAGGUCUGAGCAUGGAGUGUAUGUGAAGUCAGGGGGUGAAGACAUUAUGAUGCUAUGCCUUUAUGUUGAUGAUCUGUUAUUGAUAGGAAACAAUGAAGCAAAAGUGAAUGAAUUUAAGAAAAAUCUGAUGGAUGAGUUUGACAUGACUGACCUGGGUGAGUUGUCAUAUUUCCUUGGAAUUGAAUUCAAGAAGUGUAGUGAAGGAAUUGUUCUCACACAGCAAAAAUAUGCUACUGAUAUUCUGCAUAGAUUCAAUAUGCAACACUGUAACAGUGCUGAAACACCUGCAGAAGCUGGAUUGUGGCUCGAUAGAGAUAAUGAAGAGGACUUAGUAGAUCCUACUGAGUUUAGAAGGAUUGUUGGGGCAUUGAGAUAUCUCUGCAACACCAGACCUGAUCUGGUUUUCAGUGUUGGUCUGAUUAGCAGAGUUAUGGACAGGCCUAGAGUAUCACAUCUCAAUGCAGCAAAACGAAUAUUGAGAUAUGUGAAAGGAACAAUUGGUUAUGGAAUUUCGAUGCCCAUUAACCAUAGUGAAAAUACAAGAAAUCUAUAUGGCUAUACAGAUGUUGAUUGGUGUGGAGACAAAAGUGAUAGGAAGAGCACUGCUGGGUUUGUUUUUCUAAUUGAUUCAGCACCAAUUUCUUGGAGCUCGAAGAAGUAAUCUGUGGUUGCACUUUCAUCGUGCGAAGCUGAAUACAUUGUUGCUGCAAUGGGAGCUUGUCAAGUAGUGUGGCUUGAUACUUUGAUGCAGGAACUGAAGAUCAAAGAAGAAGGUCCAGUUGAGCUAUAUGUAGAUAACAAAUCUACAAUCAAGUUAGCCAAACAUCCAAUUGCACAUGGAAGAUCAAAGCACAUUGAAACCAAAUUUCAUUUCAUAAGAGACCAAGUUGCGAAGGGGAAAUUCAAGUUGAAGUUCUGCAGAUCAGAAGAUCAGCUUGCAGAUAUAUUUACCAAGUCCUUGAAAUCUGAAACCUUCAAGAAACAGAGAAGCACGCUGAAUAUUGUUGAUAGCAGGAAACUAGCUUAAGGGGGCGUGUUAAAAUUCAAUAGAAUAAAUAAGCUAGUUAUUGAUUGAUAUAGAUAUUGCCACGUGUAAUAAGUACUCUCCUAUAUGCUGAACCAUAUACUAAUUCUGUUGAUUGAGUAUUAGUUAUGUGCUAACAGAAAUAAUUUUCGUUGUAAUUGUUUUUCCCUUUCUCUCUCGUUCUUGAAAAAGUGCGUGCGUGAUUUUUUUUGAUGAAUUCAUACUCCAACAUUAUAUAAAUUAAUAACUUAGGUAGAAUAAAGAAAGAAAGAAAAAACUCAUGAAGUUGUAAUUUAAAACAAUUGAAGUCGUGUUUGAGUAUACCACUUUUACAGAAGAAGAAAAAUCAUAUUUGGAUUGAAGUGGUGUUUAAUCAUGCGAUUUUUGUAUACAUUUUCUUACAUGAAUCUUGAAAUUAAGAAGUUCACAACCCUUGAGAUAAGUUUUGGCUUUAUAUCUCUUUCGCUUCCUUUCUCAUUAUAAAUUAUUCUCGCCAAUUUCAACCUUGUUGGAAGCACUAUGCAGACAUUUAUUCGCAGAAGCCUCUGCUAAUGGCUCACAGGUUGGUUCAAACCAGAGUCAUGUUUCGCAAGUGGUUCGGUCUCUGCUAUCUUCAUUCACUAUUCAAGUUUUGCUAGCAUUCAUCGGAGCAAGCAUGUGGUGCCAACGAAUCAUCGUGAACGUCAUUUCCGUUGCUGAUUUCCUAACAGUUGUCUCUGGAAAUAGAACAUGAACUACACCACAAUAAUAUUAGAAAAACGUCAUUGUUCCAGUCUUCAGCAAAAUGCAUAAGGGAAGAAGCACGAUUAGGGUUCCAGUCUAUGCUUCCCAUGGAUCAUGCCGCCGCCGCAUGAAGAUUAUUAGGAAAACAAACUUCUCUUUAAUAUUCUGUAAUGGUAUAUAUAUAAUUCAGAAGAAGCCAACAGCUAGUCAAACCAUUUAAAUUAGAUAAAUGAUGGUGAUUAUCUCCUGGUUGAAAUUUAUUGUUAAUUGUUAGUUUUGGUCAAUCAAGAAAAAAAUCAUUAAAUAAUAAAUAAAUCCUAUCAAAAUCCAUAAUUUUUGAUAAAUUUUUAUUAAAUAAUAGAGAUAGUAUUAAAAAGAAAAUAUCAGAGAAAAAAUAUUUGUAAUAUUUCUUUUUAAAUUAAAUAACAAAGUCAUGUUUUCAUGGAAGACAACUUCAACCAUUUAAAUUUAAAAACAAAUCAUAUAUUUAAACUCGAUUUUAAUUAUUAAAAAAAUAAAACAAAAAUUAUAUUUUAAAAUACUACUUCUUUGUUGGAAGUAUUUUUUAAAAAACGACUUAUCUAUCUCUAGUAAAAAAAUUGAAAUUCCACCCAUUUUGAUAAUUUUUUAAAUAAUUAUCCCCAUCACGUAAAAAAAGUCUAGAUUUAUAAAUGUAACACAUAAAAAAAAUACCAAAUAAUGAUUUUUUUAAUGUUACAUUAUAAUUUGGAUAAAAAAACUAAAAUGAGAGAAAAUUUUCAAUAUAUUUCAAAAAAAAUAAUAUAGAAAAAAUUAUUACACAAUUGUAUAUAUAGACUUUUUUAUAUAAUUUUUUGGACUACUUUCUAACUUUAGAACAUGUGUCACACUUCUAAAAUGGGGAAAGAAAAAAAUGAAAUUCUCCGGUUUCAAUUUUGAUCAAAGCUCUAUCAGGAAAAAAAAAUGAAAUUCUCCGAUUUCAAUUUUGAUCAAAGCUCUAUCAGCCACUAGCUAGGUUCUUCUAGUUUGUUUGGAUAAUUUUUUUCUAUAAACAUUCAAACAUGAAAAACAAAUGUAAAAUGUGUUAAGUUUCUUCGUCAACAAAAUUCAACUUAAGAAUCUUAGCUUUAAUUAGAAGAAGUUAAAUAAAGAGAGUAUAUUAUAUAUAUAUAUAUAUAUAUAUAUAUAUAUAUAUAUAUAUAUAUAAAGUUUUUUAUCCAUAAGAAUCGAAAAUAGGAUUAAAAAAAUUUCAAUAACUCGCAUGAUACUCAAUCAACUUAGUUAAACAAAUUAAGUGCAUAAAAUUAUUUUAGCUUAUCAGAGAAAGUUGAUUUAUUUUACUUUUUUAUUUUAUUUUAUCAUAAAUAUUGAUCGAGAAGUUUAUCCAAAGAUCACCUUAGUCUACUUUAAGAAGUUCAAUGUGGAUAUUCGCAGCACACUUAUAAACAAGGACAGACGGUAAUUAAUCUCCUAAGUUACUCUUAUGAAAAGAAAAGUAUAAAGUAUUUAAUUAUUAUAUCAAAAUUAUGACAUAAGUAGUUAUAUCUAUCUUUUACAUAAUUGAAAACAUUUAAUAAAAGAACCAAAAACAAUAAUUAGUGUCGCUAGCCAAAUCCAUAAACAAGAUAACAAUUGGGUUUUAAUUGAUUGGGUCUCAAAUCAAAUAAUGGAUUUGUCUUUUCCAUGUUAAAAACUAAUCAGUUGGAAUUCGGAAAGAGGAAAAUAUUCUUUAUGAUCAUAAAUCAUUUAGCUAAUGGUUUUUCAUAAAUCAUUUUACUUUCAUAAUUUAUUAUGAUCAUAUUAUUCUUUUUAAGUGACCCUUGAAAAUAAAGAGUAUAUAUAUAUAUAUGAUCAAUUUUGUUACAAAAUUGCAUGGCCAUCGUUUCCAAUUUUGUUACACCUCACAUAAGCUUUUGUAUUUGUUGGCAUGCUUGUCAUGACCAAAGAAGCAAUUUUUUUGUAUGCUUCGUGUUUAUAACUGAGCAGUUGAAUGAACAAUACCAAAAUUGGAGGCUCUCUUUAGAUUCUCCGCGUCUCAAAAUCUAUCCUCUUCACAAAUAAGAUCAACAUCUCGUUUUUUUUUCCUGACAAGAAACCACCAAUGUUUUUCAACGCACAUACUAUAUAUGAUACUAAUUUCAUCUGCAUUAAGUGACUCUCGUUUAGCCCAAAAAAAUUUAUACAAGAAAGAAAUUAAACAAGUUCAUCCACUAACUCUAGUUAGCUCUCCAUAUAUGAAUGCAACAUACAGAAUCUUUUACUUGUGUCAAUCCUAUGAGUUAAUGAGAUCAACAUUCGAUUCAUAUACAUUAUUUUUAUAUAAUUUCUUUAGUAAAUGAGAUAAAUGGAUAUAAGAAAAAAUGUGAAAUAAAAUGAAUAACAUUGGGUCACACGUAUACAGUAUAAUCACACUUCAGUGUGCAUAUAUAUACGUUGCUAUCAUAUCAUAUUAAACUUACACGUGCCUCGCUUAUAUUAUUCGGAUUGUGAAUUUGGGCUACCAUGUCCAGAAAAUAUAUAGAGGCGUCGAUUUUAUACGUUUAUAUACGAUUGACCCGUAGAUCUAGCUAUCUUGUAAUGUUUGGAUUUCAGGAUUAUAAAAGCAUGCGCAGUAUAGUGAGCAGUGAGAGAAAGAAAAGCAAGAAUAAAUCUUUAAAGAGUGGGACCAUGCAUGUCUGAACUAUUUUAUUAGAGGAAUUAUUGUUACUAAACAUGUUUUAAUUUUAUUUGUUGAUACGAUUCCAGUAAGGAAUUAUGUAAAUUAUUACAUCUAGUAGAGGCUAAUUUUUUUAUUAACGUGUUAUUAGUAAGAAGCAUUUAUUAAUUUUUAUUAAAGAAUUUGACCGAUCUUAAGUUUUUCCUCCCAUAAUCUUUUAUGUUAAUGUUGUUUUUUAAUGAAUGAUUCAGAAGCAAAAGCAAGGAAGGUUACUGAGUGGUUGUCAUUAAUUUGUCUAGGAUUUCUAGGCGGAACAUGAAGCCUACAAAUAUGUUGUUAUGUGGCAUGUGAAAUCUCAAUAAAUCGCAAGAUGCAUGGAUUUUGUGCGUUGCAAUUUCAAUUUUCAUUUUGGCGUUAUUCUAUGAGAAUGAAUUUAAUUUGUAUUGUAUCUGGAGUAUCUGCUUGGGUUGUGAAUUUGAUUCUUUAAUGUCUGAUUGCCUCGCAAAUCGCAAUCAUGUGCCUUGGGUCUCGAGGUGUGCUUGUGGAUGGCGAAUUUUUCAUGCAAAAAAUACAAAAUUAUUCAAAUAAUACAAUUAAAAAAUAUUUACAUAUGAUGCAAUUCACUAUUCAAGGUGAGAAAGUUAUUUUUUUAUUUAACACAUAUUUAAUUACUAAAUUUACAAACAUAUUUUUAAUUAAUUUAGCGUCGGUUAAGCUGAAAAAAUACUUAUAUUAGAUUAUAAAAAAAUAAAAAUCUGCUUAUUUUAUUAAAAAAAAUAUUUUUAAAAACAUAAGUAUUUUUUUAUUCAAAUGUAUUUUGUGUUAUUUCAAUUUUUAUUGAGAUUAUAAAAUAUAAGUACAAAAAUGAAAAAUAUAUUAUAAUUAUAAAGUUUACAACAAAAUAUAAUUAUAUAUUAAAAAGUUAAACAAUAAUUGAAACAAUUAUAGUAACAUUUGUAAUUUUUCUAUAUUUUGCAUAGGAAUAGUCGACAUUAAAUUGAAUACAAAUGUGGUUAAAUAACGAUUGUAUCAAUUAUGCAAAUAAUUUUUGGGUUUUAUUAUUUGAAUAAUUUUUUACUUUUUUUAUUAUUGGGGUGAAAAUUUCUAUGGAUAGCUCGGAUAUGUCAUAGUGUUACCACAAAAUGUUAUUAUUGAGCAUUUUACUAUAUAAGACUAAACUUGGCACAAGAUGUGUUAAAAGUUUAGUAUAAAGAUUACGAAGUCUCAAGUUAGAUAUGGAACUAAACUUGGAGCAGUUAUAAUGCGGCGCUUUUGUUUUCCUUUUGAAUCUUUUGGCUUCUUUCACAAUUUCAGCAGAAUUCUUAAUAUUCAAAUUUCUGAAUUUACUUGUGAUUUAUGAUGCAUCCUGGUAAAGGAGUUUUAAAACUGGUGUAGGCUCAAGGUGUGUUUUGUUUAGGAAAUUAGUUCCAGAAAAUUUUGGUUGAGUUUGUCGCCGACCAAUGUUUUAAUUAACUUCCAUAAGCAGAUUCAAAUUGCUUUCAGUGACCAGCAACCAGAAUUAGACAUGAUUUAUUAAUCAUUUGUUUUUAUUCAGAAAACUUAAUGCACCAUGGUGCAUUUUCCAUUUUGUUGAUGCAACCAAUUGUCCAUAUUUUGACCACGUUCCUAUCUAUCACUAGAUAAACAAGCUGUCCCCCAAAAAUUAUCUCCAACUAAUAAUAUUACACGAUCAUCCAAUUCUAUUCCAUUAAAUUCAUGUGCUUUGAGUUCCAAGUGUUAAAAAAACCAUUAGAAACAUAUAGAUAUGCAAAGAAUCAACAAUUCUAGCAGCCGAGAACUAAAACCUUUGAAUCUUUAGCAGUGAGUAAAACGGGUCUAUUCUGCCAAGCAAUUUCAUGUUGGUAACUGAGUGAGGAAUGUACAAUAUCUUCAAAUCAAAUUGCUACUGUAACAAGAAGAACAUGGGAACAGUGGUUCUAGCUGUAGAUCUAUAGAACAUUUUCUUCUUCUUGUAGGUUCUAUUUUCAACUGUUAUCACUAUCUUCCCAGGUUCACUGAUGUAAAAGGAGUUUCUAGUGCUGCUACCAUCUACACUUUGGUUUUGCAGUAGUACAGUGUAUGAGCCUUCAUCAUCUGGAAUGAACUCUUCCUUGUAGGACACAUCCCAUCCCACCACAGUUACAUCCCACAUUAUUGUCACUCCAAGCUAGACACAUUCCAAAAUCAAAUUACAACAAAUAAGCAAAUUAGUCUUACAUGGUAAAUAAUAAUAAUAAUAAUAAUACUUUUAGGUACAUGUGCAUAAGUGCAUUCAAUUUUGAACCAAAAAAAGAUUCAUGUUGUAUAUACCUGUUGGAUCGGAAAUUCAACUUUAGAAACCGUACUUCCUUUGAUUUUAAGCUCUGAAACCUUAUCAGAAGGCGAGAAGUCUUCAUCAUUGUUCCUCCUUAGACCACCAUAUUCAGUUGGAAGGUGCUCUGGGGCUAUAAACCUUCACAAAUGACAAAUGUUAAUUAACUGUGGUUGAAUAAGAUUGAGAGAAUGGAACACUAAGGUUCAUGUUAAGCACACUUACUUGAGAAGUGUCUGUGUGACCUUCUGUGACCUAGCUAAGAUGAACUUCUUUUUAUUUCUCUGGUUCAUGAACCCUGAUAAUAGCACUUGAGAAGUGUAGAACCAAAAUGGAGCAUAUACUAUAAUCUGCAAAUUAAAUCAAAAAAUGGGGGGAAAGAAAAAUCAAUCAGCAUUCUGCAGUUUCAAUUUAGAUUAAAGCCUAAUAGCCACUAAUACCACUAUGCUCUAUUAUACUUUUAUAAACUAACAUUUUUGUGAAUGAUCUCAGGGUAGUAGUUCUGAAACAAUAUUAGAGCCUUUUUGCUGACUGAGUUGAGCUCCUUGGUUCCUUGCAUUGGAGUGUUCCUCAAAUCAAAAACCUGAAGUAUGGAUUCCACCCCUCCUUCUCUAAAACAAAGCUUCUUCACAGCCUUUUCAAUCAUUUGAAUCCUCCACCUCAAAUACUUGUCACAUGUGUUAUCUGAUCCAAAUGUCUUCUUGUAAACACGCCUGUCUUUGAAAAUCUCACAAGCAUGGUAACACACAGGACGACCUUCCCUAUCCUUACCGCACAAGAAUCCUGCAUUAUUUCCGAACUCAGAACCCAAAUCCUCAUCGGUGAUCCCAUCAACGUUGUUCUCGCGGCGCCACACAAGUGUCUUUUGCAGCAUGUCAAAGGCCUCAUUCACCUUGAAAUCCUUGGCCUUCAAGAAUUUCCUCAAAACAACAUCAGUGCCCUCAUGAGCCUUGCUUAGCAACAAAGGGACACCCCAGAGAGUAAUCUCUCUAAUCUGUUCCCUUGCCACUGCUAUUUCUUGUGGUGCAAGUUUCUCAUGAUCUUGUUCUCCUAACAAAUAGUUCCCAAGAAUGGCAUCCUCAACCUUGCAACGAAACUCGAGCAAUGACUUCUUCAUCUUGAGUUUAAUCUCAGCAGGACUAGGCGCCCCCGCGUCUCCCAAAGCUGUGGCAUCAAGAUCAUCGUCAUCAUCUUCUUGAUCACAAUCAUGAUCUUCUUGGUUCUUCUUCUCUUGGACCUUGAGACUCUUCUCAUCAUUGUUGUUGUUCUUAUCAAAGAAAUUGAUAACCAGGGGUACCCCAACAACGAUUUCCCCAUAUUCAUCAUUGCAACAACAUUCAUUGGCGUCGUUCAUGGUUGCCACUCAAAUGUUGUAAUUAAUUCUUCUCCUGCAUGCACCGAUCCUCCUCCUCCUCCUCCUCCUAGAUUAGAGAGCUCCACAAUCGUGAUUUGGACUACUAUAUCAAGAUUUUUUAACUAUCAGCAACUCAACGCGACUGCAAUUGGAACCACAUGAGCUGCAUUUGUCCGCGAUUUGCCACGAUGCCAACAAUCGCGAUGAAACCACGGUGACCGAUAUUUAAAACCUUAGAGCAUUUGAUGGAGGGAGGGGGUGGAGAAGGAAAGAAGAGAAGAAAGGUGGCAUUUACAUUACAUUAUUACAUGCAUAGAUGCAUGCAUGCAUGAGAAGGCCUUGUUAAUUUGUGACAACCCAAUAAUGUUGAGUGAUGAUGGAUCACUUCCCUCAAAUUGAGAAUGCUCAACCGUUAGUUUAGGUGAGUAGCGCCAAAUAUAGAUCACAAGUAAUGGCUUGGUUUCUUAUUCGUUGGCAAAUAAUGUUUUUGAAUGAUUUAAACCAAGUUGGCAUGGCAAGAGGACAACGCUCUUUUUCAUGCAACAAAAUCAAUUCACACGGGCCAACCUCGUCGUAAUCACAACAAACUUGUAACAUCCUGUUUUUUUCAUAAAAUAAAUAAAAAAGUGUGAGGUCGAGUGUAUUGUAUAAUUCAUUAGCAAUAUUUGCAUGCAAAAAUUAUUUUAAGGGUUAGACCUGAAUUAGGAAAGUGAGAUCCUAAUGGAUUCUUCGAAGUUUAGGCCUUCUGGGUAAAUAUACUCUAUUUGAGUGUUCUUUUAAAUCUAUGUUGAUCUAUAUAGUUAGAGUAUUUUCAUAAAACAGAAUGACCUUGGCUAGUCACCUUAUGAUUUCAUUUAGUGAGAGUGACCUAACAUACUCAUUGUAUGAUGUGUCUUGUUAUCUACUCCUAUGCACUCUAGUGUUGUUUAUAACUGACAUGAUACCACAUUACAUAUAGGAUUGAGUCUUAGUGUAUUUAUUGUAUAACACUUGUGUAAUGAUCAUUGUGACUUCUACAUGAUGGUGGGUAAUAAAUUAUGUGAGUGUGAAAUAUUGUGUUGUACUUGAGAUUUGUAAUGUGAAGGUGUGGAAUGUGAUUUUGUAAUUAAAUCAUUGAGACAAGUGAUGUUACGCAAUGAGUAGUAAAAUGAUGUGAAUUGUGCUAAGUUGAGUUUGUUAUACUUAUAUCAUAUACAUGUGUCUUCAUCUUUACCUGUUUAGGAAUAUGAUAAUUCACUAUGUGUGUUGUUUGUGUAUGACUAGGUGGAUUGUUUUAAGGAGCCUCGUACUGAAAGACGUCAGGAUAUAAUGCUCUGAUAAGAUGUGAUAUUGGGAUAUGAGUUUCUGUUUUAAUUGUAUGAAGUUCCAAACAUGUCAUUUUAUUUUAUUUUAUUUUAUCACUAAACUUGAGUUCUUUUGUAAAUUUGAACGGCCUUAUUUUAAGCCGAAAAUGUUUCAAAGAAGUUUUAUUUGAUAAUAGCAGAGUGAAUCUAAAUCCUUUACCCAUCGUGAAUUUACUUACAAUUUUAUUAAAUAAAAUUAAUUUAAUUAGAUUUUAUGUUAUAUAUAUAUAUAUAUAUAUAUAUAUAUAUAUAUUUCAUUUAUAUGCAUAUCAGUGUUGAAGAUAUCACAUCUUUGCAUUCUUUGCGAUCUUAAAACCUGCCUCAAAAAAAAAAAUCAGGGAUCAACUUUUUAUAUAUCCAAUAGCUUAAUAACCAGGGCCUUGCACUUGCACGCACGGGUGUUGAAAUUUUAAUAUACAAAGUAUUUUUAAAAUUAUUUUAGUGUAAAUAUAUAAUCAAAAUAUAUUGGAUUUGCUCAUAAAAUUAUUUGUCUUCAACAUUUGACCUUCAUCAAACACUUAAAAGUGAAGGGAAAAAAAAGUUAAAUGAUGAGAUAUGCAAGGCGUGGUCAAAGGAAAAUAAAAAUAUGUGAUAAAAGUAUGAAAAAUGAGAUGAAUGGUAAAGAAAGUAAAAAGAAACAUAAACUUACCCAUAAUUUCUUCCUUAUCAUGUCAUUUAAAUGAUAAGCCUUUACUGGAAAAACUAACAGUAGAGUAAUAGAAAACACAGAAGCAUGAUGCGUGCAAGGAUUGUCUAGGAUCACAAAAGUGCCACCAGAUCCUACGGGUAUUCAUAAAAAUAUCCGCUAGCAGGAUGAAAAUUAUCCUUAGAGUUGGAUACAAAACGGAUAUAUACUCAUAAGAACGGAUAUAUACCCAUAAAUUUUCAUGUGUAUUAGUGUGGGUAUGGAUAGUAUACCACCUAUAGUAUCCAACUCGUUUGGCCUUGCACAUAUUAUAUAUAUAUAUAUAUAUAUAUAUAUAUAUAUAUAUAUAUAUAUAUAUAUAUAUAUAUAUAUUUUGUAAAAAAUAAUUAUUCUUUUAUGACUAAUAUUUUAAGUCUCUAAUCUUUAACAAUAUUAUUAUAAGAGUGAAAAAUAUCAAACAUUUAAUUAAGUUAUUAGAAUAUUGACUUUAACAAUUGUUAUAUUGGAUGAUUAUUUUUGUAAUUUUAUUUAUUUAUGAGUUUAGAAAAACCAAUAUUAUGUUUGCUUGUUUUAAUUAAAUUUUAAAUAUUUUUAUGAUUUAUUAUUAUUAAUUUUAUAUGAGUCAUAAAUACCAAUAAGGAUAUAUAGUAUAGGAUCAUAUACGGAUAUUAUUUUUAAACACGAUGUAAAUCUUACCCAAGUCCUAUCCAUUAUCACCCUUUUGAUUGUCUAAGGAAAAAAGAAGUAGAAUAUAUAUUUAUUAUAAUUAUAAUUACCCUAAUAAAAAAGAUUAAUUUAAUUAGUUUACUUUAAAAUAAUCUUAUUUACCUCAAUUAAUGUAUAUUAUAACUACCUUGAUUUUAAAAUAGAAUAUACAUUGUUUAAAAUAGCCUACGUAACAACACUUCUUUUAUAAUAAAAAAAAAUUGAUAAAAGUUAUAUUUGUAAAAUAAAUAUAUUUUGAAAAAAGAAAUUAUAAUAAAUUAAUUAUUAUAUUAUAAAAAUCAAAAUAUGCAUAAUUACUAUAAUAAAAUAUUUAUACUGAGCAUACAUAAUUACUAUAACUACUAUAAAUAUAAUAAUAUAAUAAUAAAUAAUAUAUGUAAUAAUUAGUUUAAUUAUACAUUUCAAAAGAGUUUGAUUUUCAUAUGUUAACUUAUUUAAAUUUUCAAAGAUAGUAAUGCGAGAUUAUCAUCCUAUAAUAUAUUUUUGUCACAAAAUUAUCAUAAAUUUAAUGUUUUUUUUUCAAUUUGAAUCCAUUAUAAAUUUGAAAUUCGGAAUAAAAUAUAUGUUAUUUUAAUUAUAUAUAUAUAUAUAUAUAUAUAUAUAUAUAUAAUAAUAAUAAUAUAUUACAAUAAUCACAUUAAUUAUGUAUUUUAAAAUGUUCAAAUUACCAAUGAUCAAUCAUAAAAAUAGAUUAAUUGUCAACUUAUAUAUAAAAUCCCAGUAAUAUAUUUAUGUCACGAAAUUGAUAUAAAUCUUAAGCGAUUUUUAAGAUUUUGAAAUUUGAAAAUUUUGAAUUAGAAUAUAUUGUGUUAUAUAAAUUAAAAAGUGAUAUUGAAAACACGUGAUAUUAAAAAAAAUUGCCAUAAUUAUAAACCAAUAUCUAUUUAAGAUUUAAUGUUUUAAUUGAUUAAUUUAAUCAAAAUAUGUAUACGUGUUAUAAGUGUCUAUGUUACUAUAAUUAAAUAAAAUAGUGUAUUUUUUAUAAAUUAAAAAAUAAAAUAAAAUAAAAUAAUAGAAUUAGGCAAGAAAAGAAUGAAUAUGAUGAUUUCAACCGUGCACCUAUCAGGUAGGCAUUAUUAACCUUCCUAAUUUUGACCAGCACGGUAUGCACGUACGAAAUGUUAAACUAUAUUUUUCUAUAUACAUCAGAAAUAAAAGAAACGUUAUACUAUAUAAAUGUCAGCUGAUCCUGGGACUAGCUUUUUCAUAGAUUUUUUUUUCUUAUAGAUUCCAAUGUAAGACUUAUUUAAAGAAAAUAAUAACAUAUACCACGAACUAACCAGUUGUUGGUACCGUUCAAUUUAUAAAUGUUAGUGUCAGCGUUAAACUGUAUUUGUAAGGUUUAUUUAUAUAAUUUCUUUUACGAUAAUAUAAGAAAAAAGAUAAACAUAAGAUAAUAUUAUGUGAAUAAAAAAUUGUAACCAAAAAGUUAAACCAUAAACAAAAUUCAAAAAUCAAUGAAGAACAAAAAACAUUUUACACUAAAAUUUAACAUAAACACCAAUCAGAAUUUUGUGGUACAAACUCUCCUAAUCAAUCAGUCUGCUUGGGAAACAAAAUAUAUAAAUUGGAUGAUAGAAUUUUCUAAUUAUAGUUCUCUUCAACUAAAGAAGUGACGAAAGCAAAAAAUAUAAUCAAAGGAUUAGUAUCCACUUGACCAACCGCACGAGUUUAAUUAGUUAAUUAUCAUAUUGUCAAAUAUCAUUUUCUAAAAAUCAAACAUAAUAAGCAAAAAAUUCGUACAAGUGAUAAACAAGGCCACUACUUUAGGUUGACAAUUCAACAAUUGUUUCUUUGCAAAUUACUUGACAAACUUGGCCUCUUCUUUCAUUUAGUUCAUAAAGAUGCUUCAAUCCUUAUGCCUAUUUGAGCUUUAGGGCUAUGCAUCACAUGCAAGAAAGUAAUAGUCAAGCCAGAGAAAAAGUUAAAUGAAUAAAAUAUAAUUCAAGAACGAACGUUUGGACAUCUAGCUACUGUAUUCUACAUAAUCUGAGGAAAUCCUAUUUACAAUAGUUUUAAAAAGAACCCAACUGGUAACUUAAAACACAAGAAAUUGAAGAGGGGUGAAAAGAAGGAUUCACAUUAGUUUGGCCACCUCCAGACAAGAAAUAAAAAUGCAACCAACCUCUGAAUGCGGUACAUAUAACAGGCGGCUUAUCAACUGUACCUUAUGGAUGAAUUUUAGAACUCUCGGUAUUUAGUCAAAUCAAAUGUGAGAGUUCUCGAACAGCUGCAAAUUCCAAGUAAACCAGGUCAAUACACUGAGCUAGUGCCAUAAACAUACUAUUUAAAUCAAUUAAUGAUAUCAAGAAAUUUACCCUCUUUCAGAGUCUCUGUAAACCCCAACUAAUGCUUCGGCUUUGUCAUAAAAGGUGUCUUUCAGUGAUAUCACUAUACUCUGAAAACCAUUUCCACCAUCAGCAUCCUGACUAGUCCUUGCUCCUUCACAAGAUUUUGAACGAAUAAAGCCAGCAACCUUGGCAACAUUCAAGUUGUCCAAUGCAGCAUCAACUUCGUCCAAUAUAAAGAAUGGUGAAGGCUUAUAACUGAAACAAGAAGCAAGUAGGGAACCAUGUUAAUGGAACAUGAAGAUCAGAUAUCAGCAAAAUAGUUUUAGGCUUAUGUGAGAUGUGUCAGUAUAUUAGAUGAAUUUGUGUUAUUAAACACAAAUUCAGAGUAGUUACAAAAUAUUCUUGUUCUAAUAUUAGUACAAACAACUACCUAUGGAUGGAGAAUAGCAAUGCAAGUGCAGCAACUGUCUUUUCCCCACCAGAUAGCUGCUCCAUAUCACGGAAGCGCUUUGUUGGGGGCAUAGCAGUGUACUUGAUGCCAUGUAGAAAGGGAUCAUCAUCAUUUUCCAAGUUUAGGUAUGCUGUUCCACCCAGUGGAUGCGUGUUGCUCUUUGUAAGUUGUUUGUAAAUUUUAUCUAUAUUACCAGAUAUAUGGGUGAAAGCAUCCAUGAACAAGUGGUACCUGCAUCCAACACAAACUUUGGCUUCCUCAGAGGACAGAUAAGAUACAACAAUUAUCUAUUCAAAACAAGCUCCAAAACAGACGGCAAAGAAAACUCCCAUAUAUCUCAAUAUGAACAAUAAGUAACUAGAAAUCAAAGAUACACAUAGAAGUCAAAUAAGGAAAGCAUGUCAACUUUUUCUUCUUUUUUGUGUGUGUGUGUUGGGUUGGGGGGGAUGACAUAAGGUCAUAGUUUUCAGAAUUAGAGAGAUUCGCAAGGGGAAAUGUAGGACAAUACAUUUUCAGCAGAAACUUUUCCACAACCCCUUCAGUGAAAUUAUCAAAUAAUCAAGUCGACCAGGAGCUGAUUGACCUUUUUUAUUAGGAAUCUUUUAACAUAAGAUCAUAUUUUGUGGAUUUUUUGUGAAGUUACCAUCACAAUUUCAAAUUGGAUCUUAAAGGAUGUUGAUGUUACUAUCACAGUUCUGAGGGAUCAUAAAGGUUCUUCUGAAUUCUAUGAUGUGAUGCCAAAAUAGUAAAUGGUGGAAGCCAGUGAAUGGGUGACCACCCCCAAAAUGCUAUAGUGGCAUAGUAGAUUGUGACUUGUGAGGCAGCCCCUGCAGCAAGAUAUUAUCUAGAAUGAAAAUAAUUGAAAACGAAAAGAGUAAAGCACACAAAUAUGUGUGUGGAGUAGCACAUUACAGCAUUUACUCAAAUUUGAUAAAUCACACAAUUUAGUAUAGCAUCAUCUGUUACGCCUUGUUUGGUACGAAGGAAGGAAAUAACUUUUAGUAGAAGGAAAUGGGUUGGUGUUUGGUAGGUGAGACUUAGAGAGAAAUUAAUAUAAUUGUUGUGACAGUAUAAUAUUUCUCACUUAUAUCCACUAAUUUCUCCAUGUCUCUCCUCAUCUCUUCUCUAUUUCUCUUCUAACCAAACACCUUUAAUUUUCACUUUAUUUCUCACUUAUUUCCAUUCAUCCUUUUUUUAUUUUCAUCCACCCUAUUUUCUCCUCUACCAAACAGGGCAUUAAAAACCACUCCUCACUUAUACAAACAACUAGUCAUUUCAUUUUUUCUUUGCAUGUUUUCUGAUGUAAUUUUAAGAUUCCUUAAUGUGUCCACCUAAACCAUGCACACUAUAAACUAUUGGCUAGGUACUAAUGUUAUACAAAAUACAAGUAAUGGCAAAUGAAACAAAAAUAACUUGUACCUUCUCUGCUUAACCUCAUUGAAUCUCUGUGUUUUUUCCCUCUCCUCUUUCCUGACAGCUUCAAACUCUUCAGUUACAACUCUCUCUUUUUCUAGCAGAGCUUCAUAUUGGUCUAAUGCCUUCAAAUUUGGUGCAGUUCUUUCAAUUUCAGAUAUCAAGGCAUCCAUUUUUUGCUUAAACUCUACCUCAAUUUUAUCCCUAUCUGAGUGUCUCCUAUCUUUCAGUGCCCUAUUUAGUUGAUGAAAAUCAAAAGAUGGACCUGGAACUGAGAUAUCAGUAUCCAUAGGAUCCAGUAUGACUGGGAGGCUAAUCUGUUCUAGUUCACACUUUUCUAAUAUCUCCUGCUUUUGCACAUUCAACUGAUCAAUCUGUGCCUCCUGUAAAGACAAUAAAGAUGUUGGCUAUCUAUAUUAUGUCGUGCAAGUUACACAAGAGACAAGAACUGUACUCAUCUAACCUUAGAGUGUAUCAGACGAUUAAGUUUGGAUAUGUUUGUUGUGGCUGCAGAAGCUUUCUUUUUCCACUCUUGGAUUUCCUUUUCACAAUCUUCUGACUUUGAUUUCCACUCUACAAGAGUAAAAAGAGAACAGAGAAAGAAUAAGAUUUCCAUGGAAGAAAAAUAAACAACAAAUUGAAGUAAUAGUGGGUCUGUGUUCCCAUCAAUUUCAAAUAGCAAACAGCAAAGGACUACCCAGAUAACCAAGCUUUCACCCCAAUAACACCCCAAAUCCACAAGGGGAAAAAAAAAGAUAGCAAAUCCAACGAAAAACAACUGUCACAUGGUAUUCUAUCAAUAUCAUACAGCCAACACAGGUUGCACCAAAUAUACCUUUAGCUUCCUCCUUAAGCUGAUUAAUCUCUUCUGUAGCAUUCUCAGCUGCUAACUUUGCUGCAGCCUCUCUGUCCUGUACACGUUUUAAAUCUUUCUCUAAAGUGCCAAGAGAAGCUUCCAAUUCUUGAAUUCGUGAAGUCAUAUCCCGAUUUUGCUCAUACUCCAACCUGUAGAAUAUUUUCCAAAAAUACAAACAAAUCAAUAGCUAGAUGGCAAAUAUAACUUGAAGUUGAGCUCCAAGUAUCUUCUCUUUUUUUGCUCUUUAUCAAUUCUCUUGGGUAAUUGGAAACCUUCUGGACAUAAAAGGAGAUGCAGUACAAUAAACUUCGGGAAAGUGAGAACACUAUAUGCAACAAGGGCCAUAUUCCGUAUCACUUAACAAAAAGCUUCAGUUGAAGAAUUAAUUUUGAUGCAGUACAUCAUAAUUGACUCUUGGCUUCUCUACCACAUAAUCCAUGAUUUGAACCAUGAACCAACCCGCAAGAGUUAUGAAUCUAAAAUUACUAAUGUGAAAUAGAUCCUAACAACAAAAUAGGUAAUAGGUAUCAGACAUUUGCUGACCACCCCCACUUAAACAGUGAAACAAAUAUACAGACCUAGUCUCCAACACAUAAUCCUCCAACUAGUAUUUCUAUCCCCAAGAUAAUAUAGUAAUUAGUUUUUUUAAAAGAAAAAAAAAAGAUAGCUUAGCAUUCUAGACUUGGUUGAACUUCAACAAUUGUAGUUUUCUUCUUUCCUCUUUCAAUAAUGUACUAGUUGUUGGUAUUUAAAACACUUCUAGCAAAGCACAUACAUAUUAUUUGUUUGCAAGCUCAUAAAUGCAUUCACACAUGUAAAAUUAUGUUGGUCAUGUUAACAAAUAACAAGGUGUAAUUAAAGUAAAAGAGAAGGAACACACUGAUAUUUUAAUUUUGAAAGUUGGCUACUCAGGUUCAGCCUCUCCUCUGCUAUACUUUGAGCAGCCUUGAGUCGAUUUUCUUCAUACUCACGGAUGUUUGCAACCCCAACUGACUUGCUGAAGUCCCUGUAUAUCCUAUCAGUAAUUUCAUUUAUCCUCCUCUCAAGCUUACGUACAUCUGCAUUGCUCUUGUUAACAGCAUCAUUUAACUGCAGAGCAUAAACACCAAGUAACCAGUUAGAUAUAGAAGAACAUUGCUAAAAUGAACUAAGGAAAUGUAAAUGCCACCUUCUGCAGUUCUGGACUGAUGCAUUCAAUUCUUUCUUUGAUGGUCUUUUUUUCUUGGCUCAAAUUUGAAAGUUUAUCUUCAAUGCUUCGCUGGCAAAAUUAAAAGCAUAAAAAUAAACGAACAAAAGACAUAACUUCAAACACACAAUCCUUAAAUAAUGUUAGCUUGCAUUUGAUUGGUGCAUGUUUUCAAAAAUAAACCACAAAAAAUACAAUUUUAACUAAUUUUGCAAGGACAGAAUAUGACCAGUUAGAUUUCUCAUGCCUACAAACAAACUAUAGCCAACAGAAUAUGACCAAUUACUUCCAGCUAAUUAAUGCUGAUAUUUUAAUGCCUAUAAUUAUUAAAUUUCAAAUCUAAAAACUUAUAAACAAUUGGAUGAAGUUUGUGCUACUAGAGUUUGGGUGGAACUUAUGCAUCCUCAACAUAUAAACUAGCCAAAAAUCCUAUGAGCCCUGCUUUACUUGGUCAUUUAUUGUAUCCUAGUUGGAAAUUAAAAGACUUGCAGCUUCCAUGUUUGAUUGUACCUUUUCAAUCUCAGCAUAUUGAAUUUUCUUCUCAAGCCCACUAAUUUUUCCAGAUGCUUCAGACUCUUUAAGGUGCAUAUCUCUUAUUGAUCCUAGCUCUUCCAAUUCUGAUUCAUACUGCUCUUUCUUUUUAUUAAGUCCUGAGAAAACAACAUGAUUAUUGCAAGAGCAAAAGCUUUGAAUUAAAUUUAAAAAAAAUGAUAAAAACCUUCAAUUUUCUUGUCAUCCCACUGUUUUGACCUUGCUUCCAUUCCACCACUAGUGCCCCCAGUCAUUGUGCCGGAUUUUGUCAACAGAAUUCCGUCCACAGUUACAACUAAGCAAAUCAAAUUACAUAGAACAAUGUUCACUAAUUUGCAAUCUAACAAGCAUGAUUGUAUUAAAUGCACCAGGAAUGCAUCACAAGCAUAAUAAAUACACAAUAGGAUUCUCCAGAAGCCAAAAGGUUUGUUAGAUAAGAAACAAAAUUACAAAAAAACAAAGAAAAAUCGUGCAAAAACCAGAGUCAAGUAAAAGUUAUAAACUGGGUGCCAAAAAAAGUAAGGAGAAUGAGAAGCCAGAGGGAAAAGUACAUUGGGAUCAAAAUGGAACAACAUCCAACUACUAUCAUUAAGCUCUAAUGGCAUGUCAGUAAGAAGGUAAAGCACCUGUAGAUAAUAGAAAGAAAAAAGGUCUUCUUACCUUUAAACCUCUCACCGCUCCAGCUUAAAAUUUUGGCCUCCUCAAGAUCAUCACAAACAAGAGUAUUCCCAACAGCAAAGAGAAUUGCCUUCUCCAAGGAGGGAUCAAACUUGCACUAGUUAAGUCAAAAAGCUUAAAGCACUUAAGUUUAGAUGUGUAUAAUUAAGUGGUUUGACAAAAAGCAUGAAAUUAAACUUUAUGAUGGGGUAUUCAUGAGAAGGGAAAGAAGAGAAAGUACAAGAAUGAUUUAUGCUCAAUGCUUAAUAGACCACCUAAUUAUAAUCCAAGAAUGCAUCUGUCACUAUAGAAAUUCAUUAAUUCAACAGUAAGUCAAAUAGCAUUUUGAUGAGAUAUGAGAGGAAACUACUGAAAAAAAUCUGCAAAUCUGAAAAAAAAUAAUUAUAUAUCCUAUUAGGGAAAGGCUUUGAUUUUAGUGGGCUACAGGAAACAGCACUGACAACAGAAGCUGUAGCAUAAAGCAAUACACAAUAAGAAGGGAAAGGACAAUGUAAUAAUAGCAAACUGUUAAAAACUACCAAAACCCAGUAACAAGCAAACUCUGAUGAUGUUAAGAUGACAGCAGCUCAAUCCAUCACAAUGACAGACAUGGUUACUCCACCCACAGAAACAGCCAUUUGCAUGAGAAGGAGAUUGCACAUUCCUUUAGGAUUUUGAUCAUACAAUUCAAACGCAGUAUGAAGCAUACAACAACCUUAUAUCACUUGGUGAGGUCAACUACAUGGAUCACACAUCGCCAUUGACCUCAAAGCAGGAAGCAUGUAAGCAAAAAAUAUUUUAUAACUAUACAAUGGCUGUACAAAAAAUUGGAGUUCAUAAAAAGGUAAUGUGUGUACUGAUGGGUGGUCAACCCAUCACCAUUGUGCCUUCCCAGAUUCAGAAAUUUUCAAGCAAUGUGGUUAAUGUCAGACAUUGCUAAUUUUUUAAAUUAGUCAAAACUCAAAACAAUAAAGUCAUGAUGGACAAGCUAUCUACAGAAGGUAAAUAUCAAGAAAACUUCAGUUUCAUUAGCACAAAUUUAAAUAACAAAUCUGCAAACACGAACAGAACCAAAUUCUUCAAAGUAGCCACUGGAGAAAAAAGGAUAUUGAAUCACGUCAAAAAUCAGUUUUGCUGUACCCCCUAAUGUGCGCAAUCUUUCCAUUAUUGGCUUCACCCGAACUGAUUCCAGAGGAAUAAAUGUCUGGGGAGGAAGCCUCUGAUCUUUUAAAUACUGAAAAGCAGAGAAAAAUAUUCCAAUCAAUAUCAAUACAUAUAACAAAAUGAAACCAAUUAUAGAGCUUCAAUGUUCAAACAGGCAAAAUUGCAAUUUUAACACCAAAUUCUAGCUAUCAAGAAUAUUUAUAGCAAUCUGUUCAGUGCAACCAAAGAGCCGUGUCAAACAUAACAUAAAUUCCACUGGAAUGACAGAUGCAGAAAGUGAAUUCUAGUAUCAAGGAUGAAAAGACAAAAAAAUGAAGGUCCACCAGUUUGAAGGCACCAAACAAGCUUAAUACUUGGGCCUCAGUUAACAAGGUUUAUGUAGCACAUGACAUUUUGCUAUUUUGGAAGUCCAUAAUAAUUUUAUUUUAUUUUUGUAUUUUUUUCAGAGCUCAAGGAGUGUUCCUAUGCAUAUGCAUCUUGUAUCAAUUAAUGCUGCUUUGGCUUCUUUUCUUUUUACUUAUUCAUGCUGUGUAAUCACUAAUACUAGAGACAAAAAGGGUAUUCAAAUCAAAAGCAGCAAAAACCAUUAAAUAGAAUCUGAGUUCUAAAAGAUAACUUGGUAAUCAUAAAAUCAAAAGGAUAAAGCAAAAUGGAAAAAAAAUAUUAGGAAAACUUAUUAGGACCUUGAUGCAUUCCUUCCCGGUCUUUUCAUUAUCAACUACGACUGCAUCCAUAAAUUUACCCAUAGCAACGGUAACAGCUAGGUUAUACUUCUUUUGUGUUGGCCUACAAAGAUCAGUCAUGCGACCAUGAACUCCUUGAAACAGGCGUUUCAGAGUCUCAACAGCCUGAGACAACCUAACAUCUCUCUCAUUCUCAUAUCUAUCAGCCUUCAAUUCACGUAGUUGAUUUUCUAAUUCACCAAUUUUUAACUUCAAAUUUUCAUAUUUUUUCCUGCAGAUCAAAAGUAGAACACACCAUUACAAAAAUAGCAUCGGCAAAGUACUUUAACGCAGUGGGAAGCUUUAACAAUUUUUUUUAAAAAAAAAAGCAUUGAAUAACAUGUUGAAUUACUUGGAAUCACGAUGUUUGUCCUGCAUCACGCGUAGUUCUUUUUUCAAGUUUUCAAGGCCAACUUUAUUUUUUGCAGAAUUAUCAAGAAUUUUUUCAAGCCUUGCUCGCAUCUGUUCUUCCUGUGAAUUCAGUUCAGACUCCCUGUUUCUUAACUGUUGAAGAUUUUCUUCUAAGUUCUUUUGAGCUUCACUAUCAGCAUUUAGUUUCCUAUCUAGAAGCUCCUUUUCCUCUCUAAGCUUUGCAGUUUUCAUCCCAGCUUCCUCUUUGCUGUAAUGCAGCAUCAUUAUUACAAAUUCCAAAACAGAAAAAUGUAAUAACAAAUUAAAAGUUAACAUGCAUGAUAAGUGAUAACUACAAAGUACUGACAAAUAAAUUUUUAACUGCUCAGGGAGAACAAAUAGGCUACCAGAAGACAGAAUUGAUGAAAUUCAGAGCAAAUUAUGAAAAAAAUAUUUUUGUUGCUAAUAAGGAAGUUCCAAUUGAGAACACAUGGACAAACUGCUAAUGAGAGGUAAUUGGUUACUGAAUGAAAUACCAUAUACAAGCAACACCAUCUACACAAUUUUGGCUGAUAUUAGUCAAAAUCACCAUGAGUAAAUGUUCCAACUUCUGGCUAAUGACACUUGUUUUCUUUUUCCUUUUCAUUUCUACAUUAUCCAACUAAUGCACAAUUUUAACCCACAUAAAAUAAAGGAUUUUCCUUCAAGUAACAGAAAAUAAUAUACAGAAUUAGCAAAAUAGUUUUACCUUGUAUCCCUAACAGUCUAGCUCACAAAUUAUCUCAACAGAUCGGAAUAAUCAAAUAACAUGAGUACACAGUAUAGUGGCAGACAUGAUUUUAAGUGCACGCCAAAACUCAAUAGCAUUAAAGUUUUCUCUGAGCACAAUGCAAGUAUUCUGUUUCCUAAAAAAAGGAAAAAAAUGUAUAUAUAUACAUAUAUAUAUAUAUAUAUAUAUAUAUAUAUAUAUAUAUGUAUGUAUGUAUAGAGAGAGAAAGAGAGGCAGUAGUUGGCAAACAUCUACAUCAAAUAAACACUCACAUGCGAAAAUAUUCUUCCAAGUCAUUGCCUUGCAAAUCAAGCUCGUCAUCAACAUCUCGUCCCUUUUCCUGAAGGUCUGCCAUUUUGGCUGUAAGAUCCUGGAUGUCAUUCUGUAGUAAUGCUAUAUCAGCAUCAUGCUUCGUUCGUUCAACCUUUUUUUUAUCAAGCUCUUUCUUCCCUUUUUUAAUUUUUGAAGUGAUACGAGUCAUUUCCUCCUUUAACUUCAGAAGCUCAGGUUGCUGCCAGGAGGGAGGCAAACCAGAGAAACAAUCCCAUAAACUAUUCAGUGUAUAGCGUAUUUCAUAGCAUAACAAAUACAAUCAACGAUAGGAUUAUGGGAACAACUAAAAGAUUUUAGCUAGAUGAUUUUCAGGUACUCCCAAAUCUUUUUAUCUCUAUUUUGUGUCUAAAGGAGUUGCUAUCUUUACCACCCAAGCUAUUCACAGAUUAACAAAACCAUUUUCCAAAUCUUAAAAUUGCAAUUUUAAACCCAGUUUUCUUCAAAAUAAAUAUGACCAGAAGCAACAAAGUUCAAAGAGUAGAACAUAGAAUCGACCUAAGUAAAAAGUUCAAUUGCUGGAGUUGAUAAUAGUAUGAUGACAAUGAUCUUAACUAUAACCCCACCGCAAAUGUAGAAAAAACACUUACACUCUUGUCAAGCUUGUUGCUUUUCUCAGCAAUUCUCUUUUCACGUAGUGCAAUCUCUUUCAGAUAUUUGGCCUGUUCUUUUUUCUUUUUACUAGCUUCACUUUCGAAGUAUUCUAGUUCUUUAACAACACCUUCACGACUUUUUUCCUCAUCUUCAAGAUCCUUAAUUGUUUCAGCAUAAUCGUUGUGUAUAUUAAACAACUUCCACAAGAAAUGUUCUCCCUUCAUAGAUUUCUGCAAGAGAAAAAAACAAAGAGAUACUUGAAAACUUCACCUGCCACAAUAAGUCUGAUGACUGAUCAAGAUCAAGAGAGAAAAUGCAUGAAAUGGUGGUCUAGGAAGCACACAUGACUCCUAGUUGAAAAUGAAGUAGAAAUGUCGUCCAGCAAUGUAAUCAUAUUUUUUCUUCAGUUGAAAAUAAAAAAAAUAUCUAUAGGUACUUAAUAGUGAUAUAAUUAGCCACCAAUUUCAACCACUGCAGGGGUUGUCGAAAACUCGGGUAGAAAGAUUAUUUAUCAAAGAAAUUAGAAACUAUACACCCACACAAAGCCUAAGCAAUUCCAAUGAAGGGGAAACAGAUACAGGGGACAGGUAGAGGUCACUAAAAGCGGAACCUAUAAUUUUUUGUCAGUAGCCUUUGGAUCUUCAAGAGAAAGUUCCACUUUCAAUCAACAAUCUCUAUCAAGUAUCAAACCAGGUCAAUGGAGCAAUGGAGGAAGGAAGAACACAGAAAAGCAGUGAAGUCGUGGAAGUGUUGAUGUAAGAAGGGUAAUAGGAAAACUGAAAGUGAAACUCUUACUUUUUUUACUUUUUAUAGUUAAUAGAAGUACCACCCUGCCUUGGUCCAAUUAGCCAUGUGGCAGAAGAAAGUACAAUAAAAACAUAAUCUUAAAGCUAAACCAAGCAAAUGAAACUACAUCAAACUAAAACAGGCCAAUUGGAACAACAGGCAACCUACACCUACACACAUACACAACAAGCAUAAACAAACAUAAAUUGAAACAGAUCCCAUUACCAGUUCUUGUUGCAGACAGAGAUGCUUCUCUGCUUCUUCCUUCUGUUCUUUCUUCUGCUUUCUCUCCAUAACCACAGUCUUCUUUUUCUGAUAAACAAGUGCUGAUUUUUCCUCAGCAGCACCUUUUUCCUCCUCAAACUGCUCAUAGUCCCUCUUGCACUCGUCAGAGCCGGAUAUCUGUUCCACCAGUGCAGUGAGCUCUUUGGGAUUCUUCGACGCAAUAGACUCCACAUCACCCUGCACAAUUUACCAUUGUCAAUUGACACCUGUAACAGAUAUAGGCCAUGCUUGGAUAAACUUCAGUUCAGAGUCUAAAAUAGCAUUGCUUUAGUGCCAGAGUGGAGCGGCUACAAGGGCCACCAUAGCGGAGCAUUUCAGUGUAACAGCUGUAGUGGACCAAAUAGCGUCUGUAGCAGACAGGAUAGUGGCGCUAUGAGUUGUUUCCAGAAAAUUCCUUUGAAUAGAGAAUUAGGGCUUUUUUAGGGGGAUAUUCUUGGGAUUUCAAUUUCCAAAACGAAAUGUACAACUAUAAUAGGAGUGAAAAUGAUAAAGAAGAAGGCUUAGAUUUUAAAGAUGAUGAUUGAUGAUUCCUAUCUAAGAAACUAGUAUUUGACCUUUGUUGAUAUUAAGUUGUUUGUUUUGCUUAAGGUCCCUAUUAUGACUUUUUACUGUUAAUUAUGAAUUAUGAAUGUCAUGAUUUUUUGAGAAUUUAUCUCUGUAUAAUAACUAACAAUAGAAACUAUCCCACUCUAGCAUUUUUCAGGGAUAUAAAAAACGCUGCCUCUCCAUAGAAACUUAUAUUCACCUCAAGCUUUUGGAGAAGUAAAACAAUAGAGCUUCAACAAAAGUUAAUUGCACAAAAAGGGGAAAAGAAGCGAAGCAGAACCUGAAAGACCAAGAAAUUGCGAGCUUUGACGAGAAUGCCGAGGGACUUAAGUCUGUUGUUGUAGGUGUCCCAAUUGACAAGGGAUUCGUCGAUGCGGUACUCGCUGGCGCCGGCGCUGGUGAUGGUGCGAGUGAACUUGAUCUCGGUGGAGUUGGCGAGGUGGUAGACGAGGCGGACGAAAGCUCUGCGGCCUUUCUGCUCCUUCUCGCGGUCGUCGAAGGCGUAGAUGAGGUCCUUGAGCUGCGCGCCACGGAGCUGGCCGGUGCGGACGCCGAGGACGAAGCUGAUGGCGUCCAUGAGGUUGGACUUGCCGGCGCCGUUGGGGCCAAGGAUGGCGGUGAAGUCGUAGAAGGGACCGAUCACUUGGAAGCCCUUGUAGGACUUGAAAUUCUCCACCUCGAGGCAGUGGAUUUUGCCCGGGGAGAGUAGCGACGGCAUCGUGAAGUUCGUGCGUGCGUGCUCGGAGUGAAACUGUGAAACCCUAGGUCGAAUCGAAGGUGCGGUUCCGGCAAGGGUGGAGUGAGGUUAGGGUUUGGAAUUGAAUGGGGGAGAGGGGAAAUUGGCGGGAGAAGAAACCCUAAGAGAGAGUAGAGUGCGUCGUUAGUCGUUACGUAGCCAGUAGAGAAAGAAUGACUUAAAGCUUUAACGCGAUAGAAAGAGGCUUUGAUAUACUCACUCAACCAAAAAAAUAAAACAUAUAAUUGACUUAUUGUUAUGAUUAUAGACUUAAUUAUAUAUUUGGUCUUUCAAUUAUAAUUUAAAAUUUAAUUUAGUUAAUCAUUCAUUAAAAUGCUUAAUUAGGCUUUAAACGUAACAAUCAUGUGAUUUUCGUUCAAUUAUAACUUUUUCUUUUGUGAAUGAAAGGGGCUUAAGAAACAAACUAGAAUUCCCAAUGUUUGCCGAGAAUGAGAAAAUAACAUUUUCAUAUGAUCACGUAAUAGUCCACCAGCUACAACUUUAGUAAUUAUAACUUAUACCAUUAAAUUCUAAUUUGGGGCGAGUUAAAUUUGUAAAUAGUGACGGCUUAAAAAUAGAAUUAACUUUCAUAUGAUCACGUAAUAGCCCCAGUUUAACUAUUAUAAUUUAAAAAAACCAUAGAUUUUCCUAAAUCAAUUUCAAUCAGAACCUAACCAUCCCCCAAUUAACACACUCAAAACCCUGACUACCUCAAAUCAACACAAUCAGAAUCCUAACCACUACCAAACCAACACAAUCAGAACCCUAAUCACCUCAAGUCAACACAAUUGGAGCACAAUCAUAAAAAAAAAUUGGAAAAAAGCAAAUGGGUUGUCGUCGUCUAAUUCUCCAACCCCAACACCCACCCAUCCCCUUCGUGAACACAACUUAAGCUCACAAUGGAGCAAAUUUGGUUCAUUGUUUUAGGAGGUGGAUGCAUCAUAUCUGGACUUGUGGUUUAGGUUGCGUGCGGAGGUUGGUGGAUUUGGUUUGGGUGGUGGGUGCAAAUCUGGGUUCCUGGGGGUGCGGUGGUGGUUGGUGGUGUGCGCAGACAAUGGAGCGCGAUUGUGUGGUUGGAGGUAUAUGCGUGGAGUUUGGAUCUUUGCGGAGGUUGAUGGUGCUUGUUUGGGCUGAGUGUGGAUUUGGGUCCACAGAGGUUGUGGUGGUUUCUGGUGGUGCGCGGUGGUGCUUGUUUGGGCUUUGCGGAGGUUGGCGGUGUCGUGGUUGCGGUAUGAUGCUGGCAAUGUCAUGGGUGGCGGUACUAGUCAUGGUUGUGGGUGGUUUUUUAGGGUAGAAGGUUAGAGAAAGCAAAAGAAAGAGGUUGACUGUAAGUCAACGUGAAAUUUUUUACAGAAAGGUUAUAAUUAAUGCGUUUUUAGAACUUAAUUCAACAUUUUAAUAAUUAAUAGAUCAAAUUGAACUUUAAAUCAAAUGUAUAAUUAAGCUAUUGUUGUAUUAUAAAGGUGAUUAAGUUUUUAGUCUUUUGAAUUUUUUAAAAUUUUGAGUUUUAGCUCUUAAACAAAAUUUAAUCUUUUAUUAUGUUACAUGUUUUUUUAAUGCCAUGUAAAGCUGGAAUAAGUCCCUGAAAAAUUGUAGCAAAGUAGUAAAUACUUCUGGACUAGUCCCUAACUUAUGUCAUUAACUUCAAUUAAAUACCUAACUUAUGAUAACAAUUGCAAAUCACACCAUGUCAUACCUUUUGCAUGUCUGACAUGAAAUUCCACCCAUUCUGUAUGUAAUCCCCAAGAUCUUCAUGCUACAAAGUUAAAAACCAUUUCCAAUUGUCUUUGUUCUCAAUGUCCACAACAGCAUAAGCAAUAACAUAGAUGUGGUUAUUGCCAUCAAGCCCAACAGCAGAGAGCAAGUUUCCUCCAAAUGCACUCUUUAGGAAACAUCCAUCUAGACCUAUGAAUGGUCUACAUCCAGCAACAAACCCCUUCUUACAGCCAGCAAGACAAAUAUAUAGCCUCUGAAAUUGUGGUGGACCUUCUGGACUUGGCACUGUGUUGAUCUUAACUGUUGAUCCAGGAUUGCUCCUCAACAAUUCAUGUGCAUAAUCAAAUACUUUGGCAUAUUGUUUCCUCUCAUUCCCUUCCACUAAUUGCUUUGCUUCUUUCAUGGCUCUCCACAUCUUUGUAACUUCAAUGUGCACUCCAAACUCUUGCUUGAAAUAUUCCAAAGCUUCAACACAUUUAAGGGUUGGCUGCAUUCUGAGUUUGCCCUCAAGUUUACUGACCACCCACUGUCUAUUUGCUUGUUUGUUGUUCACUUCUCUGCAGCAAUUAUGGUUAUGCUUAAAUGUCUUUAUCUGAAAAGAGUUUCUAACUUCAUUCUUUGCACAGUAGAUUUCCCAAUCACAAAAUGCCUUCUUGCAUUUUGCUCUAGCCCUCUGUUUAUCAUUCUUCUUCCACUUGAACUCCCUGCCCAUCAAUAUGCUAUACUCCCUCAAGGCAGAUUUAAAUUCAUCUAGAGUACCAAACUCCAUCCCUAAUUCCAACUUCUGUUCACCAACUCCACUACUUUGACUAUAUUGAGGAUAAACUUCAGGAUAUUAAGCUCCUCUGAAUGAUAACCAUCUGUCUCAACUUCAGCUUCAACUUCAUUCAACAUACAAGAGCCUUUCCUCCUCACUAUCAGCAACAUCUCUCUCUUCACCAUCAGCAUCUCUCUCCUCACCAGCUUCAGCAUCCCUCUGCUCACUACCAUCUCUUUGCUCACCAGCAUCAGUAUCCCUCUGCUCACUACCAUCUCUUUGCUCACCAGCAUCAGUAUCCCUCUGCUCAUCAUCAUCCCUCUGCUUACCAGCAUCCGUCUGCUCACCAGCAUCUGUCUGCUCCCCAGCACCAACAUCUGCAUCAAUGGUCAUAAAGUAAAAAUUAAUCAUAUUAAUUAAUUAUGGUAACCAUGUCGGACCAAGUACAGAUGAAUUAAAACUUACCUUCCUCAUGGCCAGCAACAGGUACAUCAUCUAAAUCAUCCUCAUUCUCAACAGCUUUUCGAAUUGGAUAACAUUUCAAGUACAACAUUUGUGGGACUUCUUCUAAAAUUGGAUCUACUUCAUGAUGAAAAUAAACAUUUAUCUCAUUCUCAUUUUCAAAAGCAUCCCUAACUAAGUGUAAUAUAUCUCCAUCAGUUGUACAACUCCUUAACCCAUGAUUAAAAUCUAAGUCCUUAUCAAUCAACCAAAAACAUUCUCCUAUAUUACUAUACUUCUUACAAGCUUUCACCAGAUCAUAUAAGAUAAAUGCAUUCAGGCAAUCUGCAGAUAUAUCCUCCCAAACGUCAAAUUCUCCGCCUAUAUAUUCAACCUUUCCAUCACUGGCACGUGGAGUGAAUCUUCCUCCAUGGUGCAAUACUAAAGUUAUAUUAUCAUUCAUUCUACACAAUCAGAAACCGCAAACAUGGUCAGAUAUUAGGAAAUAAAAAAACCUACCUCAAAAAGCGCGAAGACAUUGACAUUGUCAAAAACCGCGAAGACACAAUCAAAAACCAAAAACAUUGUCAUCUAUAAAAACAGAGCAUCAUAAACGAAAAUAAUAAACGAUCAUAAACCUCCCUACGAAGCGCGAAGACAAUGCCGCAAAUGAAACCCCUCGAACAUGUAAAACCCCAAAUCAAACCACCAAAACAAUGCAAACGAAUUGAAUGAAACCACCAACCUGACAAAAAGCGCGAACCCUCAAUCACGAGAAUGCAGGGGAGGGAAGAGCAACAGUGAAAGGGAAAAUGGGUUUACUUCAUUUUUGAUUUCUUUUAAACCUAAUUUUUCAAUUCAGUCCUUGCCUUGUCACAUAAUAUUGCUGACUUGGACUCAAACCUGCCACAUUGGAUGCUUACAUUUGCCAAAUAGACAUUUGACUAACGGAGGAAAUUAGAUUUUAACAGCAGAGACUUAUUUGCAUAACGGAGGUAAAGUUAGGGACUAUUAUGAAUUAAAAUUUAAGUCAGGGACUAAUAUGCAAAGUGGUUACAAUAUCAGAGACUAAAUUGCCUAUUCACUCAAAUAUAAUGAGACAUGGGGCGUAAAUAAUUUUGAUGAAGUCAACAAGAAAAUAACAUGAAAAAUUAAAACAAAAAAAAUAUUUGACGACGAACAUCCAUACAAUACUACCAGACAGGUAAAGAGAGAAGAAAAAGAAAAAAAUAUAUAAUUAUAAUAAAAUAAUAAUACAUAAAUUAUUAUUUAUAAUAAUACGGUAACCUCGUUUUGACCGACGCAAGCGGUACCAUGAUCUGGGCAACCGCAAUCCUCUCCUCGUCACAACAACUACACCUAAAGCUAAGAAACAACGACAACCUCGUUCUCCUUGCUUUCAAAUCCACCAAUACCACCAUCAUUUGGCAAAGCUUCGAUUCCCCAACGAACACCCUUCUUACUCUCCAACCACUCACGGAGCGAGCGAGCUUCGUUUCCUCGAGCAGCCAUAGUGUUACUAGAUGAACCUUCCAGUUCAUGUUUGGACCUUUGUUGGCCAUUGCUGGAAAGGAAGAAUUUCCAGAGGUCCAUUCCUAGAGCUAUGCCCCAAGGCUUUGAAGGUAUCUUGCAGAUGCUUCAGAACCUGCAGCUAAUGAUUCAAAUGGCUGAAUGAGAGCAUCAAUAUCAUCAUUCCCAUCAUCAAUGGCAACUUGCCCACUACUUGAUGUCGAUUGAUCAAGAAAUGUUUGCUCUGCAUUAGUUGUUUCCAAACUAGCUUCAAUGCCCAUAGAAAGUUGAUUUUCAGUAUCACGACGAAACGUACGACCUCUUCCACGGCGUUGCUCAUGUUCAUUACCAUGUUGAAUGUGGAAUGUGGAAUGUGCUGAAUCACAAGAGAGGAAGGGAUUUGAGAUUUUGGUGUCCCGUCAUAUAUACUUUAGUGCUAAGUUAGAUAGUGUACAUAGUAUUAAAAUUAUCAUAUCUCACUAACAACGAAUGAUUAUUUUACAAAACUUAAGAUAAAAAUAUGGACUAUUUUAGAUUUUUUAUUAAGUUAGAAUUAAUAUGCAACACAGUCGGAACUAAAUUAUUUAUUUACUUAGAAAAAAAAAUACAAAAUUUAUCUAAUCUUUUGGAUCAAUUUUUAACUAAUAAACAAUAUGAUAAUUAAUUUUUUGAAUCUAUUUAAUUAAAAAUACUACAAUUCCGUGCCUCUAUAAAUUUGUGGGUUGAUUAAAGGGAGUAGUUAUAAGAAUAUUUGUGGAUCAAUAUAAAAAAAGUAUAUAUAAAAACAUCAUAUUAUUCUCUAUUCUCAACAUAGAUUAUAAAGGAGAAAAGGGGGGAGAGGGUGGGUAUUGCCUCACACACACAAACACAACAGUGUCUGCUGCACCCUACAAUGGUUUCGCUACCAACAUGGUUUCGCUACUUUCACCACAAGGUCGGAUACUCCGUUUCCCUCGCCGUGAAGGUUCUUCUUCCCUUCCUUUACUCUCUCACCCUUUUUUUUUUCUUUUUUUUAUUGUAAUUUUAUUCUUCCUGAUAAUUGUCAAUGGUAGUCGUUUAUAUUUGUUGUAAAGUUUUCCUACUUUUAAUUUGCGCGAUUCCUGCUUAAUAAAAGGAAAAUAGAAAGCGGUGUGCUUGCUAUUACCCUUGUUUAUUAUUUGGUGGAGAAAUUUCAUUUGUGGGAAUAUCUGGAUUUUAUGAAGAGCGAAAGAGAUUAGAAUUGAAAUUGAAAUUUGCUUCGUUGUCAAAUGGUAUGGUGUUCUGCAUAGUGUGUUUGUAAUGUUUUCGUUUAGGUUCUGGUUUUUAAUGUUUUCAGUCUAGUCCAGAUCAUGCUCGAUGGUCGUGUUAGAGGAUUUUGCAACUGGUUGUUUCAUUGUGUUGUUAAGGAGAUCAUCACUUGUAAAUGAAUGCGAGUCGGUAUGGGUGUGAUGAUAGAAUCUCUCAUUUGGAACAUACGAGUACGUUCCGAGAAUGAUGUUUUUUUGUAAUUGUUAGUGGGAAUUAAUGAUUGCAAGUACAUUUAAAACUGUUUAUUUUGCUGUUUAAGUGUUCGGCAUGGUAACGAUGAUGAGAAAGUUCUGUAAUUUGGGUCUAGGGUAGGAUCCUUCUCAUAAUUUGUUCUAAUAACUUGUCUUGUUUAUUUACAAUGAGAUCUUUGCUCUUAGUUCAUUCAAAAGUUCUUACUCAACAUGAGACCUUGUUGAAUUCUCUGUCAAUAGGCACUCUAGCUUGUAUGUUAAUUAGAUUUGGGGAAAAAAGAUUAAUGAAUGGAACAAAAUUUGCUUGUCCUCAAAUCAGGAGCCGUGUAGUUUGAAAUAAAUCAUAUUUGGUGUUCUCGUAGCAAUAGAAUGGUGGCUGAAAUAUUUAAGCUGAGAAAUUUAACUUUUAUUUAUUACAACAAAGUGAAUAAGGGCUUGUUUGGAUAAACUUAUGAGGAAGGAAGGAAAAAUGAAAUAAGCUUCCCAUAAGCUAAAUUUAGCUCAUGCAUAAGUUAAAAAUAAGUUUUUGAGGAAGCAAAUAUGUCAGAGCUUCUACAAAUUAGCUGAUGCAAAAGCUAAUUUUUCAUUCCUAUUUUCUUCUCCUACUAGUGCUUAUGGAGAAGUUUAUCCAACGGGUCCUAAGUUUAACUGUAUGUCUAAACUACCUUGGAUAAGAAGAAAUCAUAACCUUUCAAACAAAACUCCUUUUGUUUUAUUUAUUUUCUUCUGUACAUUGGGUAUUGUUCAAGCAAUAGGUCUUCUCCACUCCCUUUUAAAUUUAUGCAGUGUUAACAGAGGUGUUGGUGGCUUGGAAACCAAUUUCUAUCUUAUUUUAUGAAAAUUAAGGGAAACAUUGGAUAAGAGGCAUUGGAGGGCAUGUGAUUUCCAAGAUUACGCUUUUAUCUUGAAAAGGCUAAUCUAUUGGUUGUCAAUCAUUUCAUCCUAAAGAAUGACAUUUAUAGGAAUAUUUUUCCUUGUAGUUUAAGUUCUACAACUGUGCCAGUGCAAGGUUUUCCUGUUUUCCUGUUUUCUAUAACUGUUUAUCACAUUGUCAGCACUUAUAAAUCCCCUCCUCUGAAAUGAUUUUUACUAUACAAUGUUUAAUGUGAACAGAACAAUAAAGGAGAUCCAAUCACAGCCAGAGAGAUAAAUGAUGCUGUUUGGAAAAACUUCUUUCUAGGAAAGCUGACAUACUUGCUCUGGAAUAAAGGAGAGGAGAUGGCCCCUACUAUUGAUGGAAAAGCAGUAACUCUUGUUCGGAAAUUACCAGCUGUAGACCCAACGUAAUUUCAUACACUAUCCUUUUGUGCAAAUCUAUUGACUGUUAUUGCUAGUUGUUUGAUAUUGGCCUUCUAAAGCUAGAGAUUCAAUAUACAUGUUUUACAUAAGAAGCUUCUAUUUGCUUUAUAUGCCUUUCUUAGACUCUCGGUAUGCUGUAUCUUCUUCUUGGAUAGCUGUGCAACCCUUGCUUACAAACUCUUUCAGUCACUUAUUUUCUUUUCAAUGUCUGUUGAGAUAGAUCCCACUUUUUUUACAUCUGGCCCAUCAUAUAUUUGUCGUAGUGAACUCUUGAAAAUCUUUUCUCUUGUUAAAUUAUAGUUUAUCCGCUGCCACUACUGAACAUCUGUGUAACACAAUUUAAGUUUACCCACUUUAUCUUGACAACAUUAAAUAGUACAUCAUUUCGGUGCUGUGUCCAUCCAAAAUAGCAGAAUGGCAUAGAAAUAGAUAUCAUCUGGAGCUUAUUAUUUAGUGUAUUAUCAUCUCCAUUUUUGUUAUGAUAGUCUGGGUUCUUUGACAGGAGUGUUUUUGUAGGAGAUGUUGUGGUUAUGAAGGACCCUGAGAAGCCAGAUAACUACCUACUCAGAAGAUUAACUGCAAUUGAAGGCUAUGAAGUGGUUUCUACUGAUGAAAAGGAUGAACCCUUUAUUCUUGAGAAGGAUCAAUGCUGGGUAGAGGCUGAAAAUGAAAAAUUGAAUGCCAAGGUAAAAGCUGCCUAACUUUGCUAUCCCUAGGUGGAUCAUUAUGCACCUCUGCCACAAUUUGAACAAUAUUAUUGUAUUAAUGUCAUAGUAAAAGUUUUAGAUUAAAACAUCAUUUAUCAAGCAAUGAGUUAUCAUUGAUAUACAAGUAUUCAAGUUGAUUACAUACUCUUAGUCAUUUAAACUUUCUGAAAUCAGUGUGUAAGAUUAAUUUGAUAACUAGAUUGUUACAGAAGAAUGAUAAAUAGACCCUCAAUAGAUUGAUUGGUUAAAAUAAUUUUAUAUGAUGAGUUAGUAGAGGUGAAUUCACCUAAUGAGGUAAGACUUUUGUUGUUUGUUGUUGACUUAGUGGAGUGUAAGCCAGUACUUACUUUUGUCAACAAUUCUGACACUAUUGACUGGAUCCGGACUUAUUUUUCUGUUAAACCCCCUCUUUUUAAGACAUAAAAAUGAAAGACUGUAGCUUAUCAUGGCAAUUCAGUCAAGCAACUUUUGGAGUUCAGUGUAUGAUAUGGCUAGAGGUCGUAUAUGUUAGCAAGUUUGACUUGAUUCCCCAAGUGGAAAUGUUCAAUCCAUGUUUUAAUUCAUUCAUGACUUUUAUUUUUCUGGUAAUACCAAAAUUGCUUAUUCCUAAACAAUAACCAUGGUUGUAACCUGUAGAAGAAACAAAAAACACCUCUAACAGAAGAAAAAGAAAUCACCCACUAACGAUUUUUAGUGAGACUCUCGAUAUUUGAUUAUUUUCUAUGUAGCACUGUAUGGUUAAGUGAGAACUGGGGAUAUACUUAAUUUGAACCUCAUAGAUUUUCUUACAGCUUUGGAAUUUUGUUAAGUGACCAAAUUAUCUUUAAACUUCAAAGUGAAUGUUUCCACAAAGGCUAGUAAAUCUGCUGUAAUAUUUUUGCUAUGCUUUUCCCUCUAUAAUUGCUUGUAGAACACUAGGAACAAUUCAUUGUUUAAUGCUCCCAACCCAAAUGGCAGGAAGCGAAGGAUAGCCGAACAUUUGGUCCAGUUCAGAUGACAGACAUUGUAGGCAGAGUCAUAUAUUGCCUGCGAAGUGCUGUAGACCAUGGCCGUGUACAAAACAGGUGAACUAAAUUUCUUAGGCUAACUAAACUAUCAUGAACAAAAAAUGGGGAUGCUCUUUUGAAUUGAUUGUUGAUAUAUUUUACCCCUUAACCAGUGAUUUCGGCAUGCGAAACGAUACACCAGUGCUGGAAGUGGAACUUGAUGUUGAUGAGAUGGCAAAGAGUCACAAAGCCUGAAACAUUUUUCCCAAGAAACACUAACUAGUUUACUUUACGCAUGCCUUAGUUUCUUCUUGUGGAUUUUCCUUGAAGCACAGAUUGAAGAAUAAAAAAAUAUGAUUUUUAAAUUGUUGCAAUGGGAUGAUGGUGUUAUGUGGAUGUCCUCUGCAUGCUAGGCAAUUGGCUGCGGCCUGUGUUAAAGCUUGAGUUCAACAUUAUUGUAUGCUAAGUUCUAGCAAGGACUCCUCUGCCCUUUGUUCUAUUCAUUUGGCUGUAAAAUUGACCAAGUUUUGGUCUUUUUUUGUUAAUGGUCGAGGAAGAUAAUAAAAGAUGCUGCGUUGUUAGAAAUAAUGCUUUCAGAUAUUUUCAUUUUGUGAAGACCUAGUGCCUAGACUGAGUGUUCACUUCUUGCCAUAUUGUCUUUCUAGGGAAUAAUCCUUGAUAUCCGUUCUCUUUAGUCAGUUGAGUGAAAAAGAACGUUUAACUAAAAUUUACCUGGAUCACACGCACAAACUUUUAAGUCACAAUUUAUGGUUAAUGACCUGCAUUAGAAUGAUGCUUGCAAAGGUGGAAUUGAUUUCUUGGAUCCUCUGUUGAGACUAUAGAUUAUCACUUCACAGACGUUUAUGGUAAUUGGUAAAAUUCCAACGUAAUAAAAAAAUACUCAUUUUUUUAUCCACACUUGAAAUUAAGACAAUUUUUUAUUUAUCAUUUUCUAAUACGCAAAGUGCUCUUAUAAAUAUUUUUUAAAUUAAUUAAGUUUCUUUGUGACAUUUUCCUUUUUUAUUUAUAUAUGUAUAUAAUUUUAAAAAAGUUAUCACCUAUGCUCAAUUUUACCUUUUUAUAUUAAAUUUUGUUCUUUUUGUUCUCAAAUAUAAACUGAUAUAAUGUUUUUUUUUCUUUAAAUUUAAGUUUAUUAUUGCGUGACUUAUAAAUUCUGUAUUUUUUUUCUUUUAAAAGUUAACCCAUCAUUUUUUUCAAUUUUAAAUUUUAAUUGCUUUGAAUUAGUUAUGACUAUAUAUAUAUUUAUGAUUUUAUAUAUUUUAUUUUAAUAAACAAAGUAAACCUUUAAUUGAUAUUUUAAAAUAAUAUCCAAUACCGUGUUAUAUUACAUAUUCUGGGUCAUUAAAUUAGUUCUUUAAUGAUAUUAAACGUGAUAAAAAAAAGUUGUUAUAAAUUUAUUCCUAUACUAUAGAUUAAAAUAUUUAAUUGUCAGCAUUACGUUUAAUUGAGUAAGACUGCACUUUAAAAUUUACUCAUAACACAACAAAACUUAAAUAACAUGAAUAUACACAAUGAAAAUUAAAACAAUUGGAAACACAGCCAUAUAAUAAUAUGACAUGAGACCACAACAGGAACACUAGAAAGUUGAAAUACAAGAGAGAGAGCGUAUCGAUCACGCAACACAAACUUUUGAGUUUCGAAUGUUGUCUCCGUGCUUUGUUGUGUUCAAUGUUUCAGAAUGAACCUCGGUAUAUUGAAUUCUUUAUGAAUUUAGAAUGACCCUUGGAUUUUGAGAAUUCUUAAUGGAUUUAGAAUGACAAUUGAAGUUAUUUAGCCUUGUAAUAACUUGGAAAGAAAAAAGCAAGAAGGAAGAAAGAAAUAAAGGAUGCUCAGGAAACUCAGAAUCAAUAUUGAUUAACUUGCACGAAAAAUUACAAAAACUAUAUCUCCUGUGAUUAUUAGCUAUACACAUAUAUAUAAGAGGAGAAACAAAAGAAAAUAACUAAAUACAGCAAAAUAGAAUUAUAAUAGAAUUAAUAGAAAAAUAGAAGCUAGUUAGAAACAGAAUAGCAGAAGUAGCAAUAGACGCCUUGAUCCAAUACCCCCCCCAUCAAGAUGGGAGGAAGAUGUUAUCAAUACUCAGCUUGACAAUGAUACUAAGAAAUGUAUUUCGGAGUAAGGCUUUGGUAAAAAUAUCUGCAAGUUGGUGGUACUUUCUGACAUGCAUGAGCCUUAAAACUCCUUGAGAAACCUUUUUCCUGACAAAAUGUAGAUCAAUCUCUAAGUGUUUGGUCUUCUCAUGAAAAGUGGGGUUGGAAGAAAUAUGGAUUGAUGCUUGGUUAUCACAGUAGACAACAGCAAAGGGAAUUCUGACAUUGAAAUCAGUGAGUAAAUUUUGAAUCCAUGUAAUUUCACUAGAAACAGAAGUCAAUGAUCUGUAUUCUGCUUCUGCUGAGGACCUACUUAUUGUCUUUUGGCUUUCCAGGAAACCAAGGAAUUCUCUAAGAAGAUACAAAAGUCAGUGGUUGAUCUUCUACUUUCAGGACAUGAUCCCCAAUAUGCAUCCACAUAUGCAUGUAACUUUGUGUCUGAGUUGGCUCGAAAAAGAAUACCUUGACCAACAGUGUUUUUAAGGUACCGAAGUAACAUGUUAGCAGCAUGCAUGUGGUUUGUAUAGGGGUUGGAGACAAAUUGACUUAAUUUGUGCACACAGUAACAUAUAUCUUUCCUAGAUAUAGUUAAGUACAAAAGUCUACCAACGAGCCACCUGUAAGAUCCUGGAUCGGCAAGUUUUGUUCCUGAGUUAGCUGGCAAUUUGUUAUGUGCUUCCAUAGGAAUUGAAGAAGGUUUGCAGGCAAGCAUUUCACAAUCUUCGAGGAUAGACAAUGUGUAAUCUCGCUGACACAUGAAAAUGCCUUCCUUUGAUCUAGAUAGCUCUAGGCCGAGGAAAAAUUGUAGGUCUUCCAAAGCUUUGAGUUUGAAGUGCUCUUUCAAAAUGGUCUUAGUUCUGGAUAUGAUGGCUUGACUUGGGCUGGCCAAGAUGAUGUCAUCAACAUAAACUAAAACUGCUAUGAAAUUAUCUCAUUCUCCUUUAGUGAACAAUGAGUAAUCAUACUUAGAUUGUUUGAAUCCACUUCUGAGUAAAGCAUUGCUAAAAGCAUUGAACCAAGAUCUUGAAGCCUGCUUGAUAUCAGAAUGGAGGCAUAGCAUAAUGUUCCAAAGGUCCUGAAAUCAGCAUAGUUCGGAAGUUUAGCAUAUAAAAUCUCAAAUGGUGACUUGGCUUUCAGAAUGGGGCUAGGGGUCCUAUUCAUCAAGAAAACUGCAGUUUUGACACAUUCACCCCAGAAUUUUAAUGGUAAAUAAGAUUGAAACAGCAAGGCACGAGCAAGAUUUAAAAUAUGUAGGUGUUUCCUUUCUACAACACUGUUUUGUUGUGGGCGUUCCAUACAGGAAAAUUGGUGUAAGACACCUUUAUGUGAAAAGAAAUCUGAAAGGUAAGUUCUCUUGAUGGUGGUUUGAAAUUGGUUUUCCACAUAUGAGAAAAUUUGUGGUACAAUGAAGAGACAAUCAGAUUUAUUUCUGAGAAGGUAAAUCCAAGUGAACCUACUUUUAUCAUCUACUAAAGUUAAAAAAUAUUUGAAUCCAUCAAAGGUAACUUCCCUAAAAGGUCCCCAGAUGUUAGUAUGUAUUAAAUCAAACAAUUCAGCACUAAAAUUGUUUUGGUUAGUGAAAGUGAAUCUGUUUUGUUUAGCAAUAUGGCAAACUUCAUAAUAAAAUUUGGAAUCAAUAUACGAUAUAGGAACUUUAUUGCAAAUCAGUUUGUACACAUGUAUAGGUAUGUGGCUCAAUUUGUGGUGCCAAGUUUCAUAGGUGACAACAUUACAAGAUUGUAUACUAGUAUAAUGAAAAGAAGACUUAGGGAAAUAAAAAAGAAGUAAUCCUUGAUGUUGCCUAGCGGUGCCAAUCCUCCUCAAUGUCUUGAGGUCCUGAAGAACAAAGCUGUUAGGUUGCAUAGUAAACUAGAAAGAAUUGUCAUUUAUCAAAGACCCAAGGGACAAUAAGUUAAAUCUAAAGGUUGGAAUAAAUAACACAUUGUGUAGGAAGAUGUCAUCAUUUAGUUUUAUACUUCCUAUCCCUUCAACCUUUACCUUGGUGGAAUUAGGUAAUAAAACAUGAGAAUCAUGUAAACAUUUAAAGGAAUUAAAUUGUUCUUUCGAGCAACAUAUAUGUGAGGUUGCUCCUAAAUCGAUAAUCCAAUAAUGGUAAGAUUCAUUGAAAUCAAAACUAUUGUUCAUGCAUAUACCUGAAACAUUUAUGGCAAGAGUAUCAACAUUGUUCUCUGUUUUCAAUUGAUUUGUUAAGAAGCUAAUCAACUGUUGACAUUGAGUAAUGGACAAAGUAUUUGUGGCACCUUGACUAGGGGACUCAUCAUGAUCAGUUACCUGAUUUGCAGUUUGCUGAGGCUUGUUCUUGAAGUAACUUGGAGGAUAGCCAAUAAGUUUGUAACACUUGUCUUUUGUAUGACCUAACAAGUUGUAAUGAGCACAUUGAGGUCUCUCUUUCUUAGCAUUUCUACUUUUACCAUUAGUAGGGUUCUUGGUUAUAGAGUUGAUAGCAAAGGCCAUAGUGUUAGAGUUUAGACACAGUAUGUGGUUUACAACAAUUUCUCUUUGUGCUUCUUCUUGAAUAACAAGAGAAAAAACAUUACCAAUGGAGGGAAGAGGAUCAGAGAGGAGGAUUUGACCCCGGACUUGACAAAAUUGGCAUUUAGGCCCAUUAAAAAGGAUAUGACAUAUUCAGAUUCAUUGUAAUCUUGUAGAGUUUGUAACCCGCCACAUGUGCAUUGGAAGGUUGGUUUAUAGCCUGAGAGUUCUUUCCAAACCGAUUUUAAUUUGGUAUAAUAGGUACUAACAUCAUCAUUUCCUUGUUGUAAUGACAUUAGCUGCCUUCUCAAUUGGAAAAUUCUUGGGCCAUUCUUUCGGGAAAAUCGUGUUUCAAAUCGUCCCAAAUUUCCUUAGUCGUGUUUGCAAACAAGAUGCUGCUAAUGAUAUCUUUAGAAACAAAAUUGUAAAGCCAGGAAAUGACAAGAUUGUUACCACGAGUCCAUGCAGCAUAUGUAGGAUUGACUGUGGUUGGCAUCGGGAGGGAUCCAUCGAUGAAGGCCACCUUGUUCUUCACCGAAAGAGCUACCAUCAUUGCGCGGCUCUAUGUGGUGUAGUUCUUGUGGUUAAGAGGCUGGGAGGUAAGGAUGAGUCUUGGGCCAUCCGAAUGAUGUAGAAAUAGUGGGUGAGAGAGAUCUUAACUGGAAUCUUUAACUGGUGCUGCCAUGAAUCCAAACCGAAAAGCCGAUGGGAGAGUGAUUAGGAGAAGAUACAAAGGAGAAGAUCAUAGGACCAUUGAGGAAGAGGAUCGUAGAGAAUGUUGUUCAUUUGAUAUCAUAUUGAAGUUAUUAGCCUUGUAAUAACUUGGAAAGAAAAAAGCAAGAAGGAAGAAAGAAACAAAGGAUGCUAAGGAAACUCAGAAUCAAUAUUGAUUAACUUGCAGGAAAAAUUACAAAAACUAUAUCUCCUCUGGUUAUAAGCUAUACACAUGUAUAUAAAAGGAGAAACAAAAAGAGAUAACUAAAUGCAUCAAAACAAAAUUAUAACAGAAUAACAUAAGGUAGUUAGAAACAAAAUAGCAGAAGAUGCAGAAUAGCAUAGGUAACACUAGAUUCCAUGAUCCAAUAAUGACCCUUGGCGUAUUGAAUUCUUUAUGAAUUCAGAAUGACCCUCAGAUUUGGCGAAUUCUUUACGAACUCAGAAUGACUCCUGGUGUAUUGAAUUCUUUACAAAUUUAGAAUGAUCCUCGAAUUCGGUGAAUUCUUUAUGAAUUCAGAAUGACACUCAGUGUGUGUUUGAAUAAAAAAAUUUAACUGAGAAAAGUAAUUUAUUAGAAAAUUUGAAUUUCUGUAAUCUAGAAUUCAUUGUUUGGAUGUUUUUUUUUGUGAAGAAUUACAACAAAAUUUUAAAUAACUAAAAAUUUGGAAUUUUAAUUUCCUUAUAGAGAAAUUGAAAUUCUCUUGUUACCAUCUUCUCCAAGAAAUACCGUCUGGACUCGUGGAACAUCGAUCGGGUCUAGAGGUAGAAGAACAUGUAAAACUAACACACCAAUCAUAUCUUUUCUUUUUUUUCAUUCAUUUUUUUUCACCCUUAUAAUUUUAAUUUUUUUUAUUCAAACACAAAAAUUUGAAAAUAAAAUAAUUUUAAUUGAAUUAAAUUCCUUCGUCCAAACACAUUCUAAAAUUUAAAAUUUCUCAUGAUUUUAAAUUCCUCCGUUCCACAAUAUUGAAUUCUUCACAAAUUUAGAAUGAUCCUCGGAUUCGGAGAUUUCUCUAUGAAUUCAGAAUAUGACCCUAGCCCAAUGGCAAUUACGAUAUGAAUUUUGCAUUCAAAGUUCGAAGCCUCGAUGACCCUAAUUUGAAUUCAAGAUGAAAUCUUUAUUCCAUGAUCUUGAAUUCUCUAUGAAUUCAGAAUGAUCCUCGGUGACCCUAGCCUAAUGGCGACUGCAAUGUGAAUUUUUAUUAAUAUUUUUGAAGUGGGAAUGAGUCUCGGUGACAGCUUAAUGACAGUUACGAUUAUGAUUUUUUUUUAAUUCAUAAUUUUUAAGCAGGAUUGAAGCCUCUCUGACCCUGAAUACGAUUGCAAGAUAAAGACUGAUGGAAUAUUCAGCCCAUAAUGAUCCUAAAUUCAUAUUUUGAUUCGUUGUGUUAAAUGAGGAUGGUUGGAACGAGUACAUAUGAACCCAAGCAUAACUGUGAUGGUCCUAAAUGCUAUUAUAAUUAUGGAAACAUGAAUCUAAGCAUGUGCCAUGACGCCUGACCCUGAAAGCAAUUUCGUAUUGUUAAAUUGGGACGAAAUGCAUUGUGCCUUAGUGAUUCUGAAUGCAACCUGUGCUUGGGUGUGCUUGAGUUUAUGAUGAUAAAAAAUACAAUAGUACAAUGCAUCUGAGGGUAGUCCUUUUGAUGGCCCUAAUGCAUGUAUGUGCCUUAGUGAUUCUGAAUGCAACCUUUGCUUGGGUGUGCUUGAGUUUUUGAUGAUGACAAAUACAAUAGUACAAUGAAUCUGAGUGUAGUCCUUUUGAUGGCCCUAAUGCAAGUAUGUUCCUUAGUGAUUUUUUAUGCACACAUGAAUCUAAGCAUGUGCCUUGAUGACUAACCCUUAAAGCCAUUCUAAAUGGGAUAGAAUUCACUGUGCCUUGGUGACUCUAAAUGCAAUUGUGACUGGAUCUUUUAUGAUGCUAAAUACAAUUCUACAAUGAAUCUAAGCACAAUCCUCAAUGGUUCUGAAAUGCAAUUACAAUAUGAAAGCAAACAUGAAUCUAAGCAUAUGCCUCGAAGGCUGGCCCUUAAAGUAUAUAAAACUGAGAUGCAUCAAUGGCUUGGGGAAAACCAGACUCGCAAAGUUGUUGUUCAAUGAUAAGACGAUGGAUGAACUUUUCCAAUAAAAGAUGUGGGUGUGUAUCUCUGAUUACUUUGAUAAGAGGCAGAUAAUUAUUAAAAUCAUCAGUUCUGCUUUGGCUUCAGCUCCAACUAGUGCUCUUGCUAACCAAGAAAAUGUUAACAGCUUAGAUAUUAAGCAGUUACAAAUUUAUCUUAGACACAAGCUUUCUGGUCAGAAGUAUUUACUAGAGAUGGAUGCUAUAUGGAAUGAUGACAGUGCAAAAUGGAUAGAGUUGAAAGAUUUAAUAAAAGUUGGUGGAAUGGGAAGCAAAAUCUUGGUGACAAUAAGAAGUAACUCAAUUGCUUCAAUGAUGGGCACUCUUCCCUCCUAUAUUUUAGUAUCAAAUGGGCAUUCACUUUAGGAAGUUCUCUGUUCUUAAAUUUUGAUUUAGAAAGGUGGGAAUUCGUAAGAGACCAUGAGAUAUGGAACUAGAAACAAAAAAAAAAAAAAUGAUGGCAUUUUACCUUCUCUUAAGUUGAGCUAUGAUCAAAUGCCAUCCUAUUUGAAGCACUAUUUUGCUUACUCUUCCCUUUUCCCUAAAGAUUUUGGCUUUGCUGGUGCUCAAAUUUCAAGUCUUUGGGCGGGACUUGGAUUGCUUCGAUCUCCAGUUGGAAGUCGACAGGUAGAGCAUAUUGCAGCACAAUAUAUAGAUGAGUUGCACACGAGAUCAUUUCUGGAGGAUUUUGAGGAUUUUGGCCACAUUUACUAUUUCAAACUACAUGAUCUUGCUCUGUAUGUUGCAAAAGAGGAUCUUCUAGUGGUAAACUUGCGUACUUGCAAUAUACCUGAGCAAGCAAGGCAUUUAUCAGUUGUUGAAAAUGAUUCACUUAACCAUGCUUUGUUCCCCAGGUCCAGAAGUGUGAGAACUAUACUAUUUCCCAUUGAUGGAAUGGGUGUCGGCAGUGAAGCUCUCUUGGAUGCAUGGAUAACAAGAUACAUAUACUUACGGCUUUUAGAGUUAGGUGAUUCCUCUUUUGAGACUCUACCUAAUUCAAUUGCUAAAUUGGAACUUUUGCGCUCUCAAACUUGAAAAUAAUCGCAGAAUAAAAAGGCUUUCUUAUUCUAUAUGCAAACUCCAAAAUUUGCUAUUUUUGUCACUCAGAGGAUAUGUGCAGCUUGAAACAUUGCCUAAAGGAUUAGGGAUGUUAAUCAGCCAUCAACACUUGCAUUUAACCACAAAGCAAUCUAUUCUGUCAGAGGAAGAUUUUGCAAGCUUGAGCAAUGUUCACACUUUAACUUUUGAGUAUUGUGACAAUUUGAAGGUUUCUCCCUAAACUGAAGAUUCUGUCUGUAAGACACUGCAAGAUGCUAAAUCUGUCGUUGAACUGUGAAAGUGCAAUCCAUAAAUUGAGGAUGAAAUUCCUGCAUCUUGAGCAUUGUCCAAGGCAACAGACAUUGCCUCAAUGGAUUCUAGGAGCCGCUGACACUCUGCAGACAUUGCUAAUCAUAAAUUCUCAUAGUCUUAAGAUGGUUCCCGAGUGGCUGACAACAAUGACUCAUCUUAAGAUGCUUCAUAUUGUUAACUGUUCUCUGCUGUUGUGUCUGCCAAGUGACAUGCAUCACCUCAUUGCCCUUUAAGGUUUGAGCAUAGAAAAUUUGAACCACAAUCUGGUAAUUACUGGUCCUUCAUUGCUCACAUCAAACACCUAUCCAUUGGAGAAACAAGAGAAGGGCACCACCUCCUUUUCCGAAUGCAGUCGCCGAUGCGGUUAGUAAAACUAAAAUGUUAGGCACAAAUAUGCAGUCAUGACAGAGGGCACUACACACGGAACCCUCCACCCUCAGCUUCUGGACGUUACUGUAAGCUAUCCACUACUAUGAUCCAAAUCAUUUUCCUUUGAGUUUGAAAUCUCACCCCACAACAUCUUCUGUUCUUAAUUUUGAGAAAAUAGACUAUGCACUGAUAGUAUAAAAUAUAUUCAUUCUAUCACAAGUUUCCGUGUAUGGUUAGUUUGUUAACUGCAUAACUCCUGGUCUUUCUGCUGUGUGCUUGAUUGCUUGCCUUUAAAUCUAGUUUGUGCUGCUUUGUUCAGCUAACAUCAUGUUCUUUUCCAACUAUGUACACAGAUUAAAUAUAGUUAUAUUUUUGAACUGCAUAUUUUGCAUUUGCCACCACAUAUUUAAAUAAGCAUUCCGUAGAAAACAAUCUAUUUAAAUUCCGCACAUACACGUGAAAUGUGACAUUGCCACCACAUAUUUUUAGACAUUAAAAAUCCUUUCGUCUACUCUUUUGACUUAUGUAACAUACUGUUAGAAUUAAUGUAUGUAAGAACUAAUAAAUAAAUAAAUAAUAAUUAAGAACUAAAUUGUAAUUGGGCAUAGGAGAAGUUUGUAGGAUUAAAUGUUAUUUGAUGGGAGUAAUGGUUAUAAAAGGGGUUAAUACCCACUAACCUGAAAUAAGGUCUCCUUUUAGAAAAGUGUUAUCUCUCAUCCAUAGUCACCCAUCACGAACCUAGAGAGACAAAAAAGUCUAAAAAAGUCAAAUCUUAUUUCUCUCCUCUUUCAGAAGGAAAUCAAAUACCUGAGAGAGAAAGUCUUCUUAUGGAGAAAGUACAAGUCUUCCUAUGGAGAAAAGUAUGCAUUAUUUGUUUAAUGUAUUGUUUCCUGUAAUUGAUAAUAUAGAAAAUCACUUAAGAAUUAUACAUAUACUUCUCUCAUUUCACCACUUACUAUACCCCUUUACCAGUUAUUUCAGCAUGCGAAAGGAUACACCGGUGCUGGAAGUGAAACUUGAUGUUGAUGAUAUGGCAAAGAGUCACAAAGCCUGAACUUUUGUUCUUGUGGAUUUUCCUUGAAGCACAGAUGAAGAAUAAAAUGUAUGAUUUUUAAAUUGUUGCAAUGGGAUGGUGGUGUUAUGUGGAUGUCCUCGGCAUGUUAGGUAAUUGGCUAGCUCUUCCCAAGCAGAAAUUUGAAGCUGUCUGUGUUAAAGCUUGAGUUCCACAUUAAUGUAUGCUAAGUUCAAAAUUGACCAAAUUUUGGUCUGUUUUGUUAAUGCUCGAGGAUGAUAAGAUAAAAGGCUGCAUUAUUAGAAACAAUGGUUUCAGAUAUUUUCAUUUUGUUGGCUGCUCAAUGACAAUGAUAAAGGGUUCACAUGCCAUUUGAAUUUCAAGGGCGAUAAUCUUUGAUAUCUGUUUUCUUUUUAGUCAGUUAAGUGAGUUCAUAAAAAAGAAUGUUGAAGUGAAACUUGAUUGAAUCACAGACGCACACAAACGAGUUCUUGUUUUUAUUCUGCGUCAAAAUUUGUGGUUAGUUAAUGACCUGCAUUAACAUGAAGCAUGCAAAGGCGGAAUUGAUUUAUUGGAUCCUCUGUUGAUAUUAUGGAUUAUCACUUCUUCACAAACAUUCAUUCUCGAUUUGGGAGUCAUGUAUUGCCAUCAUGCUAGCUAUGAAUCAUUAUGGCAAUUGCAUGCAUUACUACGAUAUGUUCUUACAUAUUUUGGGUCAUUCGAUUACUUUGUUAAAGAUCUAAAGGAUAGGUUUGAUUGUGUGAAAGAAAAAAGAAAUAUUUAAAUUAAAAUAGGUGUGAAAUUCGUAUUAUAUUUAAAAUUUUUCCCUUGAAUAGUAAUUUCUCUCCCACAAUACAACCACCCCUAAGUGUGAUAAAAAAAAAAGUUACAAGUAAUCUUUUAAAAACUUCCAUAAAAAAAAAUCUUUUAAAAACUAAAAUAAUAAUAUAUUUCUCUAUUGUGUUGAUGUCUUGAUUCUAUGUUGUGUAAGAUCAUCCAUGCAUUUUUCUACAUGUUUUAAAUGGAUUUCAUCGUUACACAAUUUUUUUUUUUUAUUUCUUUACAAUUUAAGUAACUCUUCUCUCCAACCCAACAACUUGAUUAUUUUUACUAAAUGGAUUCCACAAAAACCACACAUCCUUACAAUUCAUCAACACUAAUUAUUACUAUACUAUUAUUAUUAUUUGAUAAAAAUGUAAAAAAAAAAAGAAGUUUAGCAUCGGUGUUUACAUAAACACUUGAUGCUUGAUAAGUUCUUAACUAAAACGAGCUUGAUGAGUGGUUCUUGACAGACGCUGUUUCAUAUUAAGAACCUGGGAUGGAGAUGGCCUAAAUGUGAGAAUAUCACCUAUAAUAAUGCAAAAUAUUAACCAAGAAUUUCAUCAUGUGUAUACAAAAGGCUUUAUUAAAAAAAUGUUAUAUUUAUUUUAUUGAUUUCUACAUCUCAAUUAGCAAAUUCUCUCUCUCUGUAUAUGUACGUGUUUCUUCCUACAUUAUAAAACUCAAACACCACCCCCUUAUCCUUUAAGUCACAACGAAAAGGGAUAUUAUUUGAGUUGUAUGGGUGCAAGAAACUGGUGACUUUCUUAAAAUGAGAAGUAAUGCCAAUACACUCCUCCAUAAUUAUUGGUUAAAAUAUAUUAAAAAUUAUAAAAUCAGGAGAAAAAAUCAUUAAUUAAAUAAAAUAUAAAACCUAUUAAAUUUUUUAAUUUUUAAUAAUUUUUUUUAAAAAAACAUAUGUUAAAAAAAGAGUGUUAGAGAAUAAAACUCUAUCAUUUCUGUUCUUAAAGUGUCCGUUGAGAAAAAAAAGAAACAUAAACAUAUAUUUGCACUACUAUAGCUGCUAUAGCUGUGGUUGGGCCAUUGUUGGCCUUUUUUAAUUGUACUGAUGACAAAAAAAAAUGUCACACGAUUACAAGUUUACCCCUAAAAGAUUACAUAUUUCCGAGAACAUCCCUUAUCAAACAAAAGAACCUACGAAUCGCAUGAAAAGCGGCAUUGAGUGAGAGUGUUCCCUCUCCUCUCUUCUGCUCAAACAAUGUCGCAAACAACGCUGCACGCUUUCGUCGCCAAAAACCUUGGUUAGUGUUCCCUCUUCUUCUCUCUGCUUUAUGAUUCUUCUUUCUCGUUAUUAUAGAAUACAAAACUAAACAAAACCUUAGCCACGCUUAAGUGUUUCAGCUUCAAAACCCCGCCUCAUUUCUUUAGCUUAAAUUACAAAUUAAACACUAGGGGUUUUUCAAUAUCUGUUUCUAGUGACAUAAUUUUUUGUCCUUUUUCAAUGAAAUCCGUAGCUUUAUGAAUUAUGAUUGAAAGUUUCUUUUUUUUUUUCUGUUGUUUUUAGUGGUUUCUUAACCCCACCAUGUAUGUUGUUACUUGUGUUAUUGACGUGGCUAUUAAGGGGAUUUUGAGGCUUCAUUCUUUUGGGGAAAAUGAUAUUUUGAGUUUGGGUUGAUGAUAGAAUGUUCUGUGCGUUUGUGGUUUUGAAGCUGGCUCAUAUUGCCCACUAUCUAUUUGUUGAACAGUAAUGUUAUAUCUACACCAGGAUUUCUCUUGGUAAUUGAGAUGUUAAUGAACAUAAAACAUUAAGCAAACGAUAAACGAGGCAAACUAAUAAUUUACAUGUAAGUAACUGUGUGUAGAUAUAAUAUUACUACUUGUUUAAAUGAUCAUUGUGAGUGGUAAGCCAUAGCAAUUGUUCACUUCUGUUAUUAAUUGAAGCGCUCUUUCUCCAGUCUGGAAGGGCUUAUGACUUGUUAAUGGGCUUCUUGGUAUAGUUUGUCAAAAUAAGCUCUUUUUAUUUUAUUUCAAUAAUUUUCAUGGUCAAAUUUAUAAGUUAUCAUGUAAUAAGAGCUUAUUGAAUUAGUGCUUAACUAAAUUGUUUACCCAUAUACACCCUUUGUCCGUUGCAGUUGUUGAUAGUUUUUAUAUUUACAUCAUUUUCCACCAUGGUUAUCAGCAUUCUUUUUUGUGAAAGUAAACAAUCAAAGUGCUAUAAUGAAAAUGUUGGUCUUCAUUGACUGUAGGGAACAAGCUUCAUGUUGUUGAUGACUCUUUGAGGGGCACUCACCAAACUUAACAUUUGCCUUUUUGUUUUCUUGGAUGAUGGAACCAAUGUGGAUGUGCAUGUUUUAUCUGCAAGCUGCUUGUAGAAUAGUGUUAAGCCAUAAUGAUUGUAUCAUGAUUAGUUUGUUUCUAAGCUGGCUUUUCUAGAGUUGGCUCCAUGUUAAUAUUCAGAGCUUGAGUACUCGGUGUGUUAUCAUGGGUUUAUUUGGCUUGACUGCUUGAGACCAUGUUUUGUGUCAUUUUGCACUUUAAUUUUUUGAGGAGUGCUAGGAACAUACUCUCUAACUCACUCUUUGCUACUGGUUAGAAUUUAUUGGAAAUUACAAAAUCAGGAUUCAAGAGCAUCACACAUUUUUGUGGUUUUCAAUAAAUUCAAAACAAUAAGAGUGUGUUCCUCUAUUUUUUUUCUACCUGUUCUCAUACCUCUAUAUAUGUGGUGUUAAAUUAUUUUGGUGUUAUUGAAGGAUGUGGAAUGGCAGAAGGCAAGUGUCUCCCAUGUUCAGGUGUUUCUGGAAGAACUGCUGCUGUAUAUUCCUACUCUUCUCUAGGUCAUCGCAGAAUUCAUUCCCAUGUCCAAGUUAGAGGACUAAAGUGUGGCUUUAGGGGUGCAUCUUUUGUAUGUGAAGCAAAGAGGAACCCAGAUUUCUCAAGGCAAAACAAGCAUGGGUCCUCCAGAAGCAGAAAUCGGAAUAGUGAUGGGAGAGACAGCUUUGAGAGCUUUGACGACGAUAUGUUUUCUUUAAAAAAUGGACCACCUGUGUCUCUUUCAACCUCAGGAAAAUUCCAGGCCACUUCAGCCCCUGGUCCUAGGGAGAAGGAGAUUGUUGAGCUAUUUAGGAAGGUCCAGGCUCGGUUGCGUGAGAGGGCUGCCUCCAAAGAAGAAAAGAAAGUUGAAGCCUCCCGAGCACAAAGCAAAGAGAACAGUACUGUGGAUUCCCUUCUCAAACUACUGAAGAAACAUUCAGUUGAGCAAGUGAAGAGAAGUAGUGGAGGCAGAGGAAAAGAUUUUAGUUCAGACCAGUUGCAAGAAAGUAACCAAUACAAUGGAGGACGGAACUCUAAAAUUUCUGAUUUAGAUAGUUCUCCAAAGGAUGAGCCCCAAGAGGACAUUGUCUUCUCUUCCUCGGUAGCCAGGCCUCGGUCAAAUUUCCAAAGAAGGUCUCCCGUUCCUCGUUUAAAAUACCAGCAUGUCUCUAACGAUGAGAAUGAAAUGACUGUAGUGCCAGUAGGUAGUGAGGAUACAGAGAACAAUCAGGAUCAGAUAGAUUUGAAGCUUGAUGACGAAGCUGAAUCUGACUUUGAAUCGGAUGUUGAUUCAAAGGAUGAGUUUUUCUUCCCAAACAUAGGGAUGGCUGAAUUGUCUGAGGAUGAUGAUUCUGAGCAAACCUAUAAUGAUGAGAGUGUGGAGGAGCAGCCGGCAGCUCAACACAAGGAUUUGAGUGCACUGAAGCUGUCUGAAUUGAGGGCACUUGCAAAGACUCGUGGCCUGAAAGGAUUCUCAAAAAUGAAGAAGAGUGACCUCGUGGAGUUGCUAACUGAGAGCUGAUUCUGAUGGAAUGAUAUACGAGAAGAAAAAGGGACAAAACAACACAUGCCAUAGUAAAAUAGAUUUUUUUUUUCUUUUCUUGCUUUUGACUUGACAUUCUAUCCGAUGUUUCUUUGUGUUCUUUUUUUUUUGUCACACUCUAAUUUAAUUUUUCCAAGUACUUGAGGUUGAGAGUUUGUGGAACAUUAUACUAUUAGAGUAAUUAUGAUAUCUUUGCCUCGGAGAAUUUUUGAACUUGUAGUUAUAUUCCCGGGAUGAUAUCUUGUGGCAUUUGGUUAUUAUGUGAUCCAAUGACCUAUCUGGCUAGUGAGAGAUUACAUCAUUGUCGUAGUAUUUUGGUUAUCUCCUUUAUUCAUUUGUUUGUGAGAUUUUUUAUGGUCAUUCAUAUAAUGCAUGUGCAAGCAUAAAGUCGGAAGAAAUAUCCAUUAUGGUUUUAGGUUAAGAAUGUGCACCUGAAACCUUCUUAUGAACUUUGCUCAUGAUGGCUCGAAAACAAAGUGUCUUAGCCCAUGUUAGUUAAUUUCUCAAUGAUUUUGUUCGCAGCAGCAGGCACAUGGUUUGAGCCUUUGAGGCAUCAGGCAUGAUUACCAAAUACCAAAAGCCCUAAGGCAUCGACUUUGCUUAAAUGGCCGUUUGGAAUCUUAGUUACACGUGGAAACAAACAAGCCAUUAAUCUAUUGUCGUUUUGGACCUUAUUUCUUGAAGUUUUUAGUGAAAGAAUUAUGCUUUCUUUUGCUUAGCUUGCAGGAUGGGUUAUGAUUGAUCCCUUUUUUCAUCGCCUAAUGGUAGUUGUUAAUUUUGUUAGAAUGUUUGUGGGAGUGAUUUAAAUUCAAGGCAUGACAGUAUAGUUCUCACACUUCUGGACCUGGGGAACAAAGCAUGGUUAAGUGAAUCAUUUUCAACAACUGAUAAAUGCCUUGCUUGCUCAGGUAUAUUGCAAGUACGCAAGUUUACCACUAGAAGAUCCUCUUUUGCAACAUACAGAGCAAGAUCAUGCACCAAAUCAUGUAGUUUGAAAUAGUAAAUGUGGCCAAAGUCCUCAAAAUCCUCCAGAAAUGAUCUCGAGUGUAACUCAUCUAUAUAUUGUGCUGCAAUAUGCUCUACCUGUCGACUUCCAACUGGAGAUCGAAGCAAUCCAAGUCCCGCCCAAAGACUUGAAAUUUGAGCACCAGCAAAGCCAAAAUCUGUAGGGAAAAGGGAAGAGUAAGCAAAACAGUGCUUCAAAUAGGAUGGCAUUUGAUCAUAGCUCAACUUAAGAGAAGGUAAAAUGUCAUCAUUUUUAUUUUUUUUUGUUUCUAGUUCCAUAUCUCAUGGUCUCGUACGAAUUCCCACCUUUCUAAAUCAAAAUUUAAGAACAGAGAACUUCCUAAAGUGAAUGCCCAUUUGAUACUAAAACAUAGGAGGGAACAGUGCCCAUCAUUGAAGCAAUUGAGCUACUUCUUGUUGUCACCAAGAUUUUGCUUCCCAUUCCACCAACUUUUAUUAAAUCUUUCAACUCUAUCCAUUUUGCACUGUCAUCAUUCCAUAUAGCAUCCAUCUCUAGUAAAUACUUCUGACCAGAAAGCUUGUGUCUAAGAUAAAUUUGUAACUGCUUAAUAUCUAAGCUGUUAACAUUUUCUUGGUUAGCAAGAGCACUAGUUGGAGCUGAAGCCAAAGCAGAACUGAUGAUUUUAAUAAUUAUCUGCCUCUUAUCAAAGUAAUCAGAGAUACACACCCACAUCUUUUAUUGGAAAAGUUCAUCCAUCCUCUUAUCAUUGAACAACAACUUUGCAAGUCUGGUCUUCCCCAAGCCAUUGAUGCAUCUCAGUUUAAUAUACUUUAAGGGCCAGCCUUCGAGGCAUAUGCUUAGAUUCAUGUUUGCUUUCAUAUUGUAAUUGCAUUUUAGAACCAUUGAGGAUUGUGCUUAGAUUCAUUGUAGAAUUGUAUUUAGCAUCAUAAAAGAUCCAGUCACAAUUGCAUUUAGAGUCACCAAGGCACAGUGAAUUCUAUCCCAUUUAGAAUGGCUUUAAGGGUUAGUCAUCAAGGCACAUGCUUAGAUUCAUGUGUGCAUAAAAAAUCCUCUAACACGACCAUCGGGCAUGAUCUGCGACUAGACUGAAAAUAUUAAAAACCAGAACCUAAACGAAAACAUUACAAACACAUUCUGCAGAACACCAUACCAUUUGACAACGAAGCAAAUUUCAAUUUCAAUUCUAAUCUCUUUCCCUCUUCAUAAAAUCCAGAUAUUCUCACAAAUGAAAUUUCUCCACCAAAUAAUAAACAAGGGUAAUAGCAAGCACACCGCUUUCUAUUUUCCUUUUAUUAAGCAGGAAUCGCGCAAAUUAAAAGUAGGAAAACUUUACAACAAAUAUAAACGACUACCAUUGACAAUUAUCAGGAAGAAUAAAAUUACAAUAAAAAAAGAAAAAAAAAAGGGUGAGAGAGUAAAGGAAGGGAAGAAGAACCUUCACGGCGAGGGAAACGGAGUAUCCGACCUUGUGGUGAAAGUAGCGAAACCAUGUUGGUAGCGAAACCAUUGUAGGGUGCAGCAGACACUGUUGUGUUUGUGUGUGUGAAGCAAUACCCACCCUCUCCCCCCUUUUCUCCUUUAUAAUCUAUGUUGAGAAUAGAGAAUAAUAUGAUGUUUUUAUAUAUACUUUUUUAUCAUUUUAUCUCUAAAAUUGCCUUUUUAAUUUUUUAUAUUCUUAUAACUAUUCCCUUUAAUCAACCCACAAAUUUAUAGAGGCACGGAAUUGUAGUAUUUUUAUGUUUUGGGAAAUAUGCUAUUUUGGUUGCAUGGUGUACAUAGUAUAUUUUUUGUGGCAUUUGAUAAUAUGUUAACAUAAAGUAAACAUAGCACAUGAGCUUUAUUAUGUAUUUGAAAUAAAAAAUGAAACACAAAGGUUCUCUUGAUACAAAAAUUUAUAGAGUUGACAAUGAUUUUAACUUGGCUUGGAACGUCCAAGUUGUCCUGUCCUACCACCAUAUAGUAUUUAACUAACUUGUUAGUGUUAUUCCUUUUUCUUGAGAAAUUCAUAUGAACUUAAUUUAUCAUUUUAUGUGGACUAAAUCAUUACAUAUUAAUUAUUAUGUUACAUUCAGUUAUUUCUGAUCUUUGUAGGACCAAGUAUUUUUAUGCUAGUAGUAUUAUUUUAAUAUAUUGUGAGGAAGCUACAAGCUAACAAAUCACUUAUACAUGAUAAUUAACUUGUUCAGUUGUUUGGGUUCCACAAUGAGUUCAUGUUCUAUUUCUCGAUGAUUGAAUUCUGUCUUUCCCUGUGGUCCUACUUGAUGAUGCAACAGAUGGGACAUGAGUAUCAUCAUCAGCUCACCGCAACAUGAAUCAACAUCACAAACUAAAACUAAAAGUAGAAGAUGCCGAUAGCAAUACCACAGUAGCAGACCACAAAGGAGGCAGCAUUAGGAAAUGGACAAAAUAGAAUAACAGAAUAUCUUCUAGAUACUACUAACAAAGAUUUGUUCUUGAUACAAAAAUCAUUGUCAAUUUUAACUUAUACAAAAAUUUUAUUUUAUUUUAUUUUCUGUUUCUAUAAAUAUUUAUUUAAAAAAUUAUCCAAACUAAGCACUAAGAAGAUUUAAUUUUAAAGGUAGAGCAAUCUGUCUCUAAGAAACUACAGCUAAUUGAUAUACGAGGAACAGUGUCCCUAACAUUCAUCUUCAUACAUUCGAUCUCCACUUUGGCUAAUUGAUAUACAAAAUUAGGAAGUAGUUCCACACUUGCAACAUAAGUCAAUAGCGCCUUAUUCCGAAUCCUAAAUUAAGUCCAAGUUUGCAUGUUUCUUUUACUGUUACAUGUUUUAGAUCAAGUCCUUGUUCUUUUUCUUUUCCCUCGUUCAUAUGUUGUUAUGUUUGGCUUCUUCAUUUAAUUGUUGGUUUCAUGAAUUCGUGUAUGUAUGCAGCCCAUAGGUUUAUUUUUUGAAUAAAAUACAUAUAUAUAUUGUGACCACAUGUUUACCUUUGUAUUAUGAGUCAAAAGGCAGUGUUUCUUUCUUAUUUUAGGAUUAGAAUAUUAAAAUAUGUUGUUUUGGUAGUUAAAAAGAAAGUUUAACUUUUUAUAAGAUAAAGAAAUAAUGAUAACUCUAGGAUACAAGAGGCACGAAAGGUUUUUUUUAUUCAUUAAGUUUAUUUUUGCUUUUGCUAUUUUAUCUUUUAAGUUAGAAAUAUUAAAAUAAUGAUAAGAAAAUGUAAGGUUGUGUCCUUUGCAAUAUGUGCUUCUUUGUAUAGGUUAGUUUAGUUUUGAUUUUCUUUCUUAAAAAAAAAAAACAAGAAUACAAGGUCAUGAUUUAGUUUCACGGACAUGUUUUUUUUUUUUUUCAUUUUCCUUUUGUUAGAAAGUGAUGAAUAAUUUUCCUUGUAGUAUAAAAGUUCUGAUUUUACUUUUUUUCUUAAUUCAUAUUGUUUGUGUUUCCAAAUAAAAAUAACGUUUUUUUUUAAUUUAUGCAAUGGUUUGUGAUAUUAAUUGAGUAGCAAUUCUACCUUUUACUUAAAUCAUAAAAGUUCAUAAAAUAACCAUUUUUUAUCUAAGCUUUUGGUACAGAGUUAUUAUUUUAACAAAAUAAAUAAUUUUAUUUGAGUAAGCAACAAUGUUACCUGAUUUGGAAAAUUUAAAUAAUUUGCUAGCUUAAAUCUUUGUGCAAAGAUCAUUUCUCUCAUAUAAAAAAAGAUAAAAAUGACAGUAAAAAAACUAAAAUAUUUUCUUUUGGGGUAAAAUAAAUAUUUGUGAGAUUGUUUAGAUUUUGUGUAAUUAUUUAUAGGUAUCAUUUUCUUAACAGGGUUGUAGGGUGUUAAAAUCUUCUUUAUGCGUAAGUGACUCCCGAACGGAUCUUUAAUUUCAAAGACCAUUUCUUAAAAGGGUUUUCCAAUAUUUUCUCUCAAGAUAAAAAAUAUUGGUGGUAAUUCCAUUUUAAAUAUUUUUGCAUCGCUCCCGUGUUACCUCAUUACAACAACCCACACAAUAUGGGACUAGUUACAAGAUCCAUAAACUAGCCACAAUAGAUAACAAACCAUCACCAUACAUAACAUAUAAAUAAUGAGUAUUUUAUAAUCUUCACUCCUUGGUUUGAGUAAGAAAAACUUCUACAUUAAAUUAGUUUGUAUAGAAGGACUGGUACGUAACUAACCCAAAUUCCAUGUGUGUGCUCACAUUAAGGUUCACGAUAGUGGGUCAAUGGAAGGACAAAUAUGUCACUUCUUUUUAAUUUGAGGACUAAAAAUUAAUGUUUUUGAUCUUUCAAUGAUCAAUUUGUUACUACUUGACACUUCUAGGUACGAAAAUGGAUAUUUAUUCUUUUUUCCCUUAAACAGUUAGGCCCAACAAUUUUGGAUCGAAUGAUUAAGAUUGUUUGGUGAAAUUGACUAUGCUAGUGCUACAUACCCUAGCAUACUAAUUACAACAACAUCACACAACACAAGUAACAUAGAUUAUAAGAAGAAUAAGAAGAAGAAACAUUCAUGUUAUUCUAUAGUCACUGAAACAAAAUUGUGUUGAACGACAAGGUAGAACAAUGACCCUUUUUUGCAUUUUGACCUUCGAUUUUGAAACUCUUCAAUGUUUCAAGUUUAUUUAUUUAUUUUAAUUGAACAAACAAUUUGUUCAUAUUCAUGAAAUGGUUUAGUCUUAAUUCCAUGUUGAAGGCUAGGAAUUGCAUGAAUUGAAAUAAUUUAACUGAUGGAUGGGGUUAUGGUUUCGUCAUUAAUUUUGGGUUUGUUGGAUAUUGAUUUUUGCUAUUGAAAUCUAAUUAUAUGCCAUUGUGGGGUAUAAGAAAGGAAGAAGAACAAUAACAACAUUUUAUUAAAUAGCAAUAAUGUAGGAAUUACAUAAAAGUAGAUCCAAUUACAUUAAACUCCAAUGAAAGAUAAGAUAAUUGCUCAGAACCAUAGGGGAAGAAUCCCUUGUUGGAGAAAAAAUGGGAGAUAAGUCCCUACACGUCCAAAGUUGUCACAAGAGAGUUCAAUUUAGAAUGUUUUUUAUCUAUUUAAUUGGUCUCUUUAAAAGCCUAAAAAUAAGGAAUAGGUCCAAGCCCAAUUAAAAACAGAAUUAAAAUAUAUUUAAACAUAAUUCUGACACACCCCACACCGUUGUGCCUAUGCCUCACAUUGGUGUGGGUACGCUCACAAGAGUAUGGAAGGCGCACUAGAAGAGAAAAUGCAUGUCAAGAUUGCCCACAACAUUGUGGCUCAAUCUGUAGAAAAUGUAUGUUAGUUGUUCGUCUACCGGCAAGUAUACCGAUGUGCACAAGUAGUAUAUAAAACGAUAAGAUACACUAAUAACUCGUGAAUAGGCUAUUUUCUUACAAUUGUUCAAUACACUAAUAACUCACGAAUAACAAUUAACAUUAGCAACACCCAUACUGUUGUGGGGACUUGUCACACCUGUGUGGUUAUUUCUUGGGCUAAAUUCAAUGCUUUUUAAGCUCUUUUUUGCUGCUUAAAUCUCUCCAAGCCCCUUCAAUCUUCCUUUAAUGUCAUUGAUAGUACUCCAAGUUCCUCUUCAAAUUAGUUUUUCGGCAAAUUCCUUCAAAAAAAAAAAUCAAGUGCAGAAAGAAAUAAAAUUGAAAUUUAAACUAUGAAAAUAUUUAUUUAAAACUUAACUAAAAAUCAACAUAGAAAAGUUCAAAAGAAUAAGAGACAUCACAUAAUUAUGCCAAAAUGGCUACCAAAUGUAGGACUAAAUGAUAAUUAUCAGCAAGCUCCCAUAGUGUGACGAGUGAUGUGGACAAAGUCUAGAAGGAAUAGACUACUUGACAUGACUUUCUUUGGAUCAAAUAGCCUAUUGCGUAAAUUUCUUUGGAUCAAUUUUGAGUCAAAAUCAAGACCCAAAAAAUCAUUAAAAAAAAUAGACAAAACACAUGUAUGAUUUAGGUCUUAAUUUAGAUCCAGAUGCUGAUCCAAAAAAAUUAAGGUAAUAGACUAUUUGACAUGACUUUCUAGCUAUUCUUUCACACAAAAUUUGUAUAGACUGUAUUACAUGCAUGUCAUUUGUCUUUUCUCCUCUACAAAAUUUUGUCAAACGGAAUCUCAGCCCAAAGAUCAAACCAGAAGAAAUUGAAAUAAUAGACAUGCUAAUGAGGUGAUAAUUGUCACUAACUUUGGUUUUCCUCAUGUCGUCUCGCUAAGAAUGAGCAUGAAGACCAAGGUUUGAGGGUUUUUAUAGGGAAAAAGAGGAAUAUUCUUGAAGAGAAAACGAGGGAAGGUCAAAGAGAUGGCAAAAUGUGGUCCACCUUUGAUUUUAGUUUUUUUCUUUCAAUUUAAAAAAAUAAUACAUUUAUUAUUCAAAUUCUAAGAACAAUAAAUUAAUUAUUAGAUCAUACUUGAGUUGUCAAAAUUAAAAAAAAAUGUGCAUGAUUUUAAAUGUAAUUAAUGUUUUUGAAUCCAUAAGAAUCAAACUCAAGUAAUAGUUGGUUUAGAAUAACUCAUGAAUAUUGGUUUAACAACUAAGUUGCACCUCCUUAGUUAAUAUUUCAAAUUUUUAUAUAAAACAUUAUGCAAUUUUCUAAUAUAUCUCUUGUCUUUCAUAUUCAAUAGAUUAUGUCUCUUCUAUAAUUUUUUUUUAUUUUCUCGCUCCAAAAUAAAUGGUUAAGGAUUUAAAGAAUGGUUAAUGCUUCAUCAAUAUUGUAAAAUGAUAAUCUAAUGAUUUUUUUUGUUGAAAUGUAAAACAAAACGGACCAACGGGAGCUGAAAACAUUUAUCUUCUUAUUUAAUAGGUCAUUAAGAGCAUUUAUCUUCCUAUAUAUUAAGAGCAUUUAAUACUCAUUAAGAACAUUUAUAACAAUUUUAAAACCCAACUCAACUUGGUCAAUCGAACAGGUUAGACAAGGAAUCAAACAUAUUGUUAAAGCAUAACCCUUUUAUGAUUUUCAUGUUUUAAUGAAACAAACUUUAAAGAAAUAAAUUUUAUGUCCUUUAGACUUUUGCUACUAAUAUUUUGGCUUGAAGUGCUUUCAAAAAAUAAGACUUAUCAAGAAGCAAGAAGAAAAGUUGUGAAGCAUUAGCCUAUGUUAGUUAUUAUUCAUGAGUUAGUUUGGUAUUGAAUAUUUGCAAAGAAAUAGCAUUGUGCCUCCUAUUUAUGAUUCUUUUUGUAGGAAUUGUACAAAUUUUCUUUAUUAUGUGAUUUUAUAGGUUAGGAACUCCAAUUUUGUGACCUAAUGUUGAAUCCAACUCAUUUUCAGGCCAAAGAAGAGAAGGUUAAAGCAGCUGAUGACUCGUUUAGCGAAGCAUAUCCGCUCAGCGAGAUGCAUCCAUUUAGUGAGACAUCUUGCCCGCUUAGCGGAUGGGAAACCCUAGAAGAGGAGAAGUCAGAGAUCUGUGCGCUCAGCACGCAACCAGCCCGCCCAACGAGAAUGUUGUUUCUUCUCGCGCUUAGCGCGCCCACUCUCGUUAAGCGAAAAUUCACUAACUCUCGCUUAGCGAGCCAUGCUCGCUAUGCGAGCCUUCAGAAGUUUAAUAGUCCAAGAGCCUUUAAAACAUUGAGAUUGACGGAGUUUUGAAAAAGGGAGACGAGUUUAGAGCAACAAAGAGAUCUUAGUUCAAGAAAAGAGAGAGAUUUAGGGUUUAGAGGCUGGAGGAGACAUCCUCCACCAUCUUCUUCCAAUUUGUUUCACCAAAGAUAGUUUCUUUCUUAGUUUUGAAGCUUUGCUUGUAAUGGAAUGUUAAGCUUCUUUGUUGGGGAGUUCUUCUGAACAAUCUUGAUGUAAUAUUCUUGCUAUCUAUUUAAUGUUAUUUUUUUAUAUUCAUUGUUUCUAUUUAUACUUAUUUUACAUGCUUGUGGCUUGAUCACCCAUUUGUAUGUGUAGUUAGGUUUUUUAGUUUUGGUAAAUGCUUUAAAACCUUAGAACUUGAUAGUGCAAGCUAGAAAUCUGUAUGUCUAGGAAUGAAGUGCGAUGAUCUAGUCCAUUUUAUGUUGUAGGCUUAGUGCAACUCUUUUAGAGCAAGUUUGUUGAGGGAUUAAGGACGAAGUCUAAAGAGAGUUAGGCUCAUUCAUGUGAAGAAUUAUGGUUUGAGUAAUUUCUCAGCAUAAGAACACUAGAAUAACGUUAAAUAGAGAAAAACACAUUUUAGACAUCAAGAGAAAUUCAGUAGAAUACCCUCCAACGCUCUUAACUUGAUAGUUUUCACUUUCUAUAGCUUUAGAUAUUUAGUUUAUGUUCAAAUAGAAUUUCUAGUUCAGAACUCAACAUUUGCCUUAUUUUAAUCCAUAUGAGUGUUUACAUAUUGAAUGUACAUGGUCUAGGUAAAACAAAUUCUCUGAGGAUACAAUACUUGAUCUUGUCAUUUUAUACUACUUGUGCGAAUCAGUACACUUAUCGACCAGUGAACAACCUAUGACCUUGAUUCUUAAAUAUGAAGCAUAUCCAACAUCAGAAGCAUAAGGGCAAUUAGGAGUUCUAUGUCAAAGCCCAAAUAUCAAAAGUAGUACAUGACUAUAAGCAUGAUUAUGAAGGUAGUUUAAGUCAAGGGGUAGAUAUCAAAUGCUACACAUGACAAGGAUCAUAAAAAGAUGCAAUGUUAAAGGAAAUAAGUGAAGACAAACAUUUCUACACAGUCGAGAAGCACAGACCAAGAAUUAUGAAGAUCUAUGUCACGUAAUAGUUUACUGAUGCACAUGGCUUAGUGAAGCUUUCUUAAUCUAACGAGUCUAUUUGCAAAAGAAAGGCAACCAUGAAGGUGAAAUGUAGUCUCUCACAAUCUAUAACAAUCAAGAAAAGAUCAACACCAUUCUGCAAAAGACUUACUUUUCUAAAGAAGUGGCAAGCCUCACCAUGACUAUGCUGGAAAAAAGAGAAGUCAUGAGUUAUUGAGCAACAACAUGCACCAACAAACAUGUUUCAAAAUUCAAAGUUUUGAGCAAACUAUUACAACGAAAAGAAGGAGGAAGAACAAGUUGUGUGUUGGAGACAACUCACAAAGGAUAUCCUUGGCCUAUGAGACAAGGUGCAAUGGUAAUCUUCAAAGUGCCUAUAUAAGAAGGUUGAACCUAUAUAAGGAGAUUGAAAUACAACUAGAGUUCUUUGUUAGGAAGGAAAAUAGUAUAGAGAUGACAUAGAUCAAAACUCAUAUUGUAAAUAUAUAUCUUCAGCUUUUGAUACUAGGCUUCCUUAGCCCAAACUUUCUUGAUUUGGAGCCAAAUCUAUCUAGCCAUAAAGAGUUUGUAAACAUCUUCUCAAAGGGAGCUUACUGGUGGGUUUUUCCUGUGAGAUGUAUUAGGUACCUGUGCACAUAGAACCCAUUUGGAUUUGCCCUUGCUUAUGAUCACAAAGCUUAAAGCUAGUGCCUUCAUUAAGUUUUUUAGGAAUCCUGACUCAGGGGAGGUAUCUAAGGCUCUUUCUACCUAGGGAAUUAGGAUUACAAAAAAUUAUUGACUGAUUUUUACAUUAAAGCAUGAAUGAGGUAUGUAUGACAUGUUAAUGCAUGAAGAUACUAAAGAAUAUGUGAAAUUGACCCAUGCAAUAACUUCUACCAUUCGUGUAACAUCCUUUUAAUUGUGUUUUCUUGUUUUAAAACCACAUAAAAAGUAUAUACUUUCUUGCUUUAUCACUUGAUAUGUUUGUUACUUCACAAAUCUUCCUUGAAGUUUGUGUUUUUAGUGUUUUCUUGUAUUGUUUUUAAGCCUAAGUUAAUAGUUUGUUGCAUUACUUAUAUUGUACGAGUCUCUUGGGAAACAAUAUAUGGACUGAUCCAUGACAUUACUUGCCAAAAUAUCCCUGACAAAUAACAAGAAACUUAACCCAUUAAGCACCAAAACCAAAUUCAAAAAUCCAAAUCUAUUAUUUCAACAUUAAGGGCUUCAUUUGAACUUUUCAAAACUACUAUCACAACUCUAGAUCUAUUAUUCAAUUGCAUAAAAGAAGACAAAAAAUGCUUAGAUCUAAAAUGCACCAACCUUAUACACUUUGAUCUAAAAUGGCAAUGAAGAUCUUCUUGGGGUACUUCUUCUUCCUAUCCUCAAAUGCACCAUCCUAAUUCCUCUCUUAAGUACCACAUUGAUAAUACAUUGCCUCUUUUGCCCUACAAUUCCAAUACGCUCAAUCUUAAGCACAUUAUUCGCCCGCGUCUAGUCCAACCUUAUUCUAACUAAAAUGACAACACUGUUGACAUCGUCACUACUACUGACGACCUCAAAGUCGUUGUCAAUGAUCUAAACUUAUUUCAUCUUACUUUAUGCCAUUAAGGUUUAUGCUAUGUUGUUCUGCAUUGUGUUUCUUAUUUGUAUGUGUGAGAAUACAUGGUGAGGACUCAAGGGUGGGGAUGGGAGGGACAAGUUCGAGUAGUGAAUGGUUAGUAGGUUUGGGUUUCAAGAAUGAAAGAAAUAAUGUGUUAUGAGAUUGAAAGGUGGAGGAGGGAACAAUGUGUUUUGAGGAAAUGAUGCUUAAAUGGGUUUUUUUUUUAUUUGAUCAUUGCAAUUUGUGGCUGCUAUAAGGUUCCAUAAAUUGUUAAUCCUUUCAAGAAUACAUUAUUCAUGCAAUUUUUAAUCAAAAAAAUGUAAUAAAACAAAUGUCAUGUAAUUACUUAGCAUCCAAAAUAAAAGAAAAUGACUACAACACCAAAUGAAAUAAAAAGUUUGAGGACUAAGACUUGUCGCCGAAAAGUUCAAGACAGAAAUAAUAAAUUUUAAAAAAAUUAAGGAUGAAAAAACAUACUUUAUCCUAUUUUUAAUUUCUAGGAAUAUUUUUGAAUUUUUUAAUUUAAAACAAAAUAUUAAAUGAAUAGGAAUUAGAAAGAUAAAGAAACUUGUGUAGUAUGAAUUCUGAACAAAAAUAUUUUUUUAUAACCUUUUAACAAACAUCAAAAUAUAUAUUUUGAUCUCCGGAUUUCAGAAAUCAAUAAUAUUUCGUGAAACAAGUACUAUGGUUCAAAAUAAAUAGUUAUCAAAGUUAGUUUUUUUUUUCUUUUCCCUAAAGAGUUAGGCUCUAUUGGACCGUACGAUUAAGAUCGUUCGGUGAAAUUGAUCACGCUGGUGCCGCAUACCCUAGCGUUCCUGUUAUUCUAUUGUGGCUGAAACAAAACAGUGUUGAACGGCGAGGUAGAACGACGACCCCCUUCUGCGUUUUGACCUUCAAUCUCGUAAGUUCUUCUAUUUAUUAAUUUAUUUUCAAUUGAACACCGUGUGUUCAGAUACGUGAAAAGAUUUUAGUGUUGAUUCCAUGUUGAAGGUUAGGCACUGCGUGAAUGGAAAUAAUCUAAUUGAUGGAUGAGGUUCUGUGGUUUUUGAGUUUGUUGGAUAUUGAUUUUCGCCGUUGAAAUCUAAUUCUAUGCCCUUGUGAGGUGUAUUGGAUUGCAUGAUUGAUUUUUGUUCAUCUAAAGUUUCAAACUUUACUGUUGAAGUUGAGUUAAUGAUUAAGCUACUAACUUGUUAUCUCUUUGAUCAGUGGAAAAUUUGUUACAUAAAUUGUUGUACUCAUUUGAUAUCAACUGUCAUGGAAUCAUGCUCUUAUGAGGUGUCAAACUUCUUGCUUUAACCUAAUCCACUUCUUCCAGUGCUCUGCAACGAAUUAGGUGCUUUUAAUCCAUUGACACCCUCAAACUAAUUAGGGAUCAGAAAUCAGUGUCUAUGUACUUGUCCUCCCUUUUGUUCAAAGGAUAGGUCAUGUCAUUUGUUUGUAUUUGUAAUAACUAAUAACUACUGCUGAAUGCGAUUUUAGAUUUUACUGCUAUGCUCAUAAUAAUAUAGUUAACCCAGGCAUGAUUUUUUUUGUGUGUGUGAUCGUUGUGCUGUUUUAUUUUUUUAUUCCUCUUCCAUCUGGCUUGCUAUUUUUUUCUUUCUUCCUAAGGUAUAAAAUAAAAGUUAUUAACUUUUAAUACUCCCUGGACCAUCUAAUGUCUGUUUUUACAAAUUUAUGAAGUUUUUGGUUACUCUCACUUUCUUUGCUAAAGUGGCUACUAUGCCAGCUGCUAUAGUGUUUUUAGUGGUGGCCACCACCCACCAAGCAAUGCAUUUGGCCUUUAGAUAUUUGGUCUGUAAAUGAACUAACUAACAUCCUUUUCUUAUUUAUGAUUGCAUAUCAAAAUGGUCCUUCUUGAGAACCUGUGACACCUUUCUCUCGUCAUUGAAGAGAUGAGUACCUUUUUAUUUUUUACUAAAAAGCUAGUAUUAACUGAUAUAAUUAUUCCAUUUAUAUCUAAGUUCUAAAAUCAGGAUAAUAGAUCAGAGGGUAGAAAUUAUCUAAAGGAUCAUUCAAGGUUUUAAAUAUCGUUCUGUUACACCAAAAACGAGUGCAAUGGUUUUUCCCAUCAGCGAUACCGUUACAGGAUGGUAUUAUGGAGUGAAAAGAGUUGCGGCCACAACACGGCUUCGGAAAACACUGUUUUGUUACUUUUUUCUGCCUCUUUAGAAUUGAAACCUUUAGUUGGUAGCUUCACCCGUCAUCAAGAUUCAUGAGCAUAGAACCCCACCGUUCACCUACCAGACCACCACCGCUUGCAUCUUCCCAAUCUCUGCUCAGUAGUGAUUAAUUUGACUUCUGUGCAUGGAGGGAAGGGGGUUUGACUGUGUGUGUGCUUGAGUUGGGUGUGCCCAUGAAGGGUCAAGGGUUGGGGGAUUAUUGUGAAAGCUUCUUUCUUUCAAUGAUGUAUGGUCUAUAACAAUAUUUAGUCUCAAAUCUGUUCAGCAGUUCUGUUUUCUCUUCUUGCGUCUGUUUGUGCUAGUUAAAAAAUUGUGCCCCCUUGUCUUUUUUUAUUCACCAAGUUGGUUAUUGGUAGAUUUACUUUCCAAAGUUCAUUCCUUGAUGGAUAAUUUGGUGACAACUGAAAUGUAAUUGCUGAAUGCAUAAACUUGUUAGUAGACAAUUUUCAUUAUCAGGGGUUAAUUUGAUUAAUUACUGAGAAAUAAAUGAACUCUAUCUGUCUGCGGUUCAUCUUAUAUAGAGUUUUACAAGAAAGUAUAGGCAAAACACGUGAAGUUUAGCAUUGUUUUGGAUUUGCUUUCAUAUUAUUUGUUGAUGUUAUUGCAUCUUACUCUAUAUCUCUUCAUAUAAUGGAUAGCACUGUAAAAAAUGGUUUAUACUGAAUUAAUAGAAAGAAAAGGCUAAUAAUAUUUGAAAUGUUUUCCUAGUAUACUUGUGUUUAUUCUUAUUACACUUCUCUUUCUUUACCUUGAGGAUGCUUUAUUUUCAUUUGUGUAGAAUCAUGGCCAAAGCUGAAGGUGGCAAGGAACCAAUAAAUGAACAAGCAGUAGCAAAUAUGUAUGCUGCAAUGAGGUCUGAGCUCAACCAAAUUUACUCCAAAAUAACUGAACUGGAGAUGGAAGUUAGUGAGCACACAUUGGUUACCAAUGCCAUUCAACCACUUGACCAAUCUAGACGAUGCUAUCGUAUGAUUGGAGGGGUGCUUGUGGAGAGAACCAUCAAAGAGGUCUUGCCUGCUGUGCAGCGAAAUAAAGAAGGACUCGAAGAGGUUGUGGCAAGGCUUAACGAGGCGUUGGAAAAGAAGAAAAAGGAAAUUUCUGAGUUUGAGGCUAAAUAUAAAAUCAGGAUAAGGAAGGCUGAUGCUGAGGUGAAGGAUGAAUCUGGUAGGAAGGAAGGGUCUGCUCAGGGGGUUCUUGUGGGUCCUGCAGGUGGAAGUGAAUGAUUUGUCUAUUUUUAUUUUGUUUCCUCAAACUAGUAGCCAGAACUUGUCUUACAAUUGGGUGCAUGCAGUUUGAUGAUUUGUUUUAUAUGUAGACUAAGUGCGUGUCUGAAUUAGAUUCAUGUUCCGUCCAUAUAGAAGCAAGUAAAUGUAACUUCUGCAUCAUUUUGACGUGGUUUUGCUGCUUGAACGUGGAUCCAAGACGUGUUUCCAACCACGCUCAUUAGCAAGUAUACCUUGAUAUGACCUUAAGUUUAAUUGCUUUGGGCUGAAAAAAACUUAUCUUCAUUGGUUUGUGUUUAUGUAGAUUUUUGUAUGCAAGACUAGAGCAUAUAAUCGUGUGAUCAAGCUAUUUUGUCUCUCUUAUGUAUCGAUAUGUUUCAUUUGGGGUAAAAUGCUUUUCCUAAGCACCUUAUGUUUAAUUUGGUUUUUGAAACAAUGCAGAAAGAAGUAAUGGAAGAAGGUUUAAGGCAUUUUUUCAAACUAAUUAUUGAAAAAUGUAAAGAGAAAUUAUUUUCUGGUUUGGGAUAGUUUUUGUUACAAGGCAAAAACUAUUAUAUUAUGGUGACAAAAAUAAUGUGGUGUUUGUUGCCCGACAAAAAAUUAUAGUCUAAACUACUGAAAACAUAUUUGUGAACCUAUUUUUAUCAUUGCAAACCAGCUUUAACACAUUUCAAUAUAUAGUAAAUAGUCAAUUUAAUCUUUGGAUUUAUAUUUAGUUGACAUCUUGAAAUUAAGAAAAAUUCAAAUAAAUUCCUUCAUCAUUUCAUUCAAGUCUCUAAAAUUAACUAGUUUUCUCAUUUUGGUCCAACUCUAGGGACUUGAGUGUUAAUAAU